UUGAUUUUUCAAAGUGAUAAAUGUAAUCAUAUGUUGAUAUAAUAAUUCAAAGUAGGAAAAAUAAUUUGAUUAGUAAACAAUUAAAGAUAAUGUUAUUUAAAUUUUAUUAUUACCAAAUAUUCAUCAACUUCCACUUGAUAGCUAUUAAAAUUUACCAAACACCAUCAACUUUUACUCCACAACUAUAGCUUUUUGCUAUGUGAAAACAUAACGCAAGUGCAUGUACCGUUUAACAAGUAAUAAAGUGAUAAGUAGUGCUAAUUAGACCAAGGAUACUUACAAAUGUAUUAUUUGUUGGGAAAAUGUGCUCUUUAAAAGCAUAUGUGUUUAUUUAAUUGUAAUAAAUAAUUUUUCUAAUUAAUAAAAUAAAUGAGGUAUUUUAUUCAAAUAUCUUAAUUGCAUUAAUAUUUUGAUUAAAGUCCAUUUAAUCAUAUUAUAUGUAUUUAUGUGAUCACCAUGUGGAUUCAUAGAAGACAUAAAUACAAGUUAUCUUAUGAUUAAAUAAAUUUAGUUCGCAAUUGAUAAAUAAAGUUGGGCACUUUAUUUAGGUAUAGACUGUAAUGAAUUCAUUGAAUGAUUUGUCUUAAUCAUGUAUGAAUUUAUUGAUGUAGUACGACUACAUUGAACAUGAUCACAUAUGAGAUUUAAUUAACUUUGUAAUAACUGUAAGACUUAUUAAAUCUCAUAGGCAUUGAUUUUACUGUAAUCUUAAUCUUGAGUUAAUUAUGAUUUCAUGAUUGUAAUUGUUAUUCCAUUUGAGUUACCAAUGGGCACGACACAUACUUGUGGUCAAGAUUACCCGGUAUCUUGGUGGGAGCAAUUAUGAGUAUUGGAGUUAUGGAUUAACAAUAUAGAAUUUGUACAACACAUCUCUUGAUGGGUUUUCGGCACUUGAUCAUAGAAUUCUCUGGCCAGAGUGUGUCAACAUAUUUAGUAUGUUGAAAAUGAUCAUUAGAGAAAAUCAGUAAGUAUCAAGGAAUAAGAUGUAAUUAAAUUGAUUGGACAGUUGAGAUAUCGAUUUAAUUAAUGAUGUGGUACAAAGGAUUGUGCAGUAAAGAAAUCAAUGUGACUUGGGACGAAUUAUUAUUCGAGCAUACAAUUAUGGAGGUCAAUUCCAAUCUUUUAGUGGAGUAGAUUUGGAAUUAAAUAAUUAGGCUAUUUUAAUUACAGGCCUAAUUGCUAUAGCCACUAUUGUAUGUUCCCAAAUGAUCCCAGGGUUAGCUUAUUUAAUUGACUGCACCACUACUGGAUUAAUAAGCAAGAUAACUAGCUAUUUGGGUCAAAAGCCUAAAUAUAUCAUUUAGUGGGAGGCUCCAUUUAAUUAGCUUGUGUGUAAGGGGCCUUUUGUUAUUUUACAAGGUGGGUCCCCUAUAGAAAAAGCAAGUAACGUUAGUUUUGUUUUUCAUUAUUUGGAGCCUAGGGUUUUCGCUAAAGGGAGAUAUAGAAAGGCUUAUUUUCUCUAAAGAAAAAGAGAGCAACCACUUUAUACAAAUCAGAGAAAAAGAUUUUUCUCUCUAUUGUUGAGAGAAAAUUUUUCCGUGCUAGUUGCUUUAGUGGUGAUAAAGACACCCACAUGUCACGUGCAGAUCAAACCUGAGUCAUAAUCUAGAAGAUCAUUGGUGACAGUUCAUGAUCUAACAAGCGUGGUGGUGACAGAUUGUGAUCUAAUAGGAGUGGUGGUGACGGAUCAUGAUCUGGGAGCCUAAAUCACUUCAGUGAAAAAAGCCAAAUCGGAUUUUCAAGGUACGAUUUCUAGAUUACAAAUUCUUAUAUAUUGUAUGAGAGUGAUCUUAAAAGGUUUUAUAAAAAUUUAAAAAAACUGAUUUUUCUCCAACAAUUGGUAUCAGAGCCAUCUCAUAUUAAUAUAUAAGAAUAUUGUAUGAAAUCAAUCUUGAAAUUUAUGUAUUAGAGUUGCAUAAUUUAUUCAGAUAUAUAUUAUUUCUUUAAUAUAUGAAUAAAGCAUGUUUUGGUUUGUCUUAAUUCAUGGUUAGAUUCUUUACUGUAUUUUUCUUUGGAUCUGUAACAAGAGGGGUGGUCUUUUAUCACCAUGUUUCCCUCUUGGUUUAUUUUACUGUAAUAGAAAUUUUGUAAGCGAAAAUUGGCGUAGAAAAUUUGUAAAUCACUAAAGAAUCAUCACUGGAAAACGAGCUCAAAGAGUCGAGCCCAAAAAUUUCAACAACGAGCGGUCAGCAGCACACGCUGCUGCGCGAGCAGUGCGCGACCAGCAACACAUGCUGCCAACAGCGCGCACUGCACAACACAUGCUGCCAGCAGCGCGCUCUGCACACGCAGCAGCUGCAGCGCUACCAGUAGCGCGGGUGAGGACUUGUGACGUGCAUGCGCAGGCUGCUGGCAGAGGGUGUCGUUUGGUGCGUUUCCAGCGUGACGGCGGCAGCAAACUCGGCGUCGGAGAUGGCUAGAAAUUUUGACCAGCGGCUGGCUUUAUGUUGAUGGCGGAUGGAGAAGAAGGGGAGAGAAAAAGAUGGAUUUAGUGUUUCAAUGGUUUUGAUCAUUGAGGUCCCUAUGGUUCCAAUAUUUUUCUUCGGGCAGAAAAUGUUUAAUUUUUUGCAUUUAAGUCCAAAAAAAUAAUUUUGGGCUUAAUGAAUCCUAGUUUUAGGUCCAAUUGAAAUUGGGCUUAAUGGAUUAAAAUGCAUAGAUAAAAUUGAACACAUUAUAUUUAUUUUUGGUCCAAAAGUUUUAUUUUAAUAAAAAAAGUUUAUUUAUUUCCUUCCAAAAAUUAAAAUUGGACCAAUAAUAAAUUUAAAAGCCCAAUUUCCCCUAGUCCAUCCACAAAGACAAGCUUAUGGAAGAUGGACAAUGGCAAGAAGUCCAAUGAAGAUUAGGCUUAGAGUUAAUGUAUUUUUUCAUUUUAAGAAAGCCAUGAAUUAAGAUUAUUUAAUUAUUUUUCUAUAUGUUAUGUUUUGGAUGAUAACAUGCCAUGAUAACAUGUCAUGUAGAAUAGGUAGUGCCACUCUAUGCAUAAUGAUACAUGUCAUUCAUUAAUUAUGAAUCUCGUUAUAUUGUUUGUAAUUUGCCUAUACUUAAUAAUAUUAUAUAUAAUCUAGAUAAUAUUAUAGGAAGCAUGCAAUUAACAAUAUGUAUGUUUUAAAAAGGAAAAACCAAUUUUAAAAUAUUGAGUGGGAGAGGGAAAAUUCAAGAUAAUUUUCCCACAGGCUCCAUUGUUAGUUCAAUAAUAAAAUUAUAUAUAUAUAUAUCUCGACUUCAUGAUACGGUGAUGCUCCCUUCAGAGGGUAUAUAUAUUAGAUAUUUUAUUUGAUGAACUUCUUCAAAGAUAAAAUUGAAAUAUUUUUCAAUCGAUUGUUCACCCCAACGGUGACUAUUGAUAUGAAAAAUACGUAGAUUGAAACAAUGGUUAUACACUCAACUCAAAUUUGUUAUUAACCUUCCCAACGAAGCUCUGUUAACAAAUUUAGACCCAAAAGGAUAACAAUAAUUAUUUAUCAUGUCUCUACAUGAAAGUAAAUAAUCCAAUAGAUAAUUGGGUCUAGUAAGUGUAGACAUGACUUCCCCAAUGGAUAUCUUAUCAAAGCGGUACUAGAUUAUCGUUACAAUAAAUUAAAAUGCAUUUAUGAUUUUAUGCAUUUUUGUCAUUUAUUGUGAAUAUUAUUUCAAAUUAUUUAUGCAUGGAUGUUUUAUUUUUCAGAAAAUGUCUUCCCUGAGCCCGCUUACUAUUAUUUUGAGUCAAAACAAACUCACUGGAGAGAACUAUAUAGAUUGGAAAAGAAAUCUAUUCAUUGACCUAACUGCUGAAAAUUAUAAAUAUGUCUUAACCCAGCCAUGCCCUCCAGUUCCAGCAGAUGAUACUCAUAGAAAUAAGAGAAGGCUUUAUGAGAAAUGGCAAAAGGCCAAUGAAAUGGCAAAAUGCUACAUUUUAGCCUCGAUUUCUAAUAUUCUACAGACCAAACAUCAGAACUUGGAGACUGCCACUAAAAUAAUGGAUAGUCUCCAAUAGAUGUUCGGGCAGAGUACUCGCUCCGCGAGACAAGCAGCGCUGAAAGGAAUUAUGAACAGUAAAAUGGGGAAGGGCACAAGAGUUCGUGAUCAUGUCCUCAAAAUGAUGGACUAUUUGAAUGAGGUUGAGAUUCAAGGAGCACAAAUCGAUGAUAACUCAAAGAUUGACAUAGUGUUAGAAUCUCUGCCAGUGACAUUCAAGGAGUUUAAGGUCAAUUAUAACAUGAACAAAAGAAACAUGACCUUAACUGAAUUAAUGAACGAACUCCAUUCUGCUGAAGAGAUCUAUCGUGCUGAGAAAUCUAUGGGAAGCAUAAAUAUUACUGAAAAAGCUUCUUCUUCUAGACCUAAGUCGAAAGGAAAAGGUAAGAAGAAAGCUGGGAAAAAGGGACCGUCUACCAAGCAAGAUGGCAAGCUGAAAGGCAAAUGCUUCAAGUGUGGACAGAAAGGUCAUUAGAAAAAGGAUUGCCCUAAGAUUGUGAAAUCAGGUAUGGGAAAUCUUUUUGUAAUUGAGGCAUGUUUAGUUCAGAAUCCUAUUAACACUUGGGUGUUGGAUUCAGGAGCAACUUUGUAAUUUAUAUCAUUUAAGUCCAAUGAUCCAUUCUAUGCAUGACACAGUGAUCAAUAAUGAUGAGCAUACACAUUUAUCUAAGAAAAGAAAUAUUUCUUCCAACCAAUGUUACCUCUGGCAUUUAAACUUGGGUCAUAUAAACCAAAAUAGAAUACAGAGAAUGAUCAAAGAUGGACUUUUGGAUCCAUUAGAAAAUGAAUUAUUGUUGUACGUGCAACAGUGCCACUUGAAUUGAUACAUACAGAUGUAUGUGGACCAAUCAAUGUACAAGCUCGAGGAGGUUAUGAGCAUUUCAUCACUUUCACUGAUGAUUACUCGAGAUACGGUUAUGUUUAUCUGAUGCGUCACAAGUCUAAAGCUCUUGAGAAAUUCAAAGAGUAUAGGAUUGAGACAGAAAAGCAAUUAGAUAAGAACAUAAAGAAACUUCGAUCUGAUCGAGGUGGUGAAUUUCUCUCUGGAGAUUUCAAAGAGUAUCUGGUUGAAAAUGAGAUUAUAUCUCAGUUGGUGNNNNNNNNNNNNNNNNNNNNNNNNNNNNNNNNNUUUUUUUUCUUAUAAAACUUAAAACCUUACAUCAAUUCUAGACUUGAAUCAAGAUCACUUAGAGAACAAAUAAGGUGUUUUUAUUACAUUUUGCAUAAACAUUCAUUUUAGUUGAGUCUUAAUAAGUUUUGCUUGAAUCAAAGUAAUUUGUGCUAAAAAUAGGUGCGUAAUUGUAGGUUCUCAAAAAGUCUUAAUUCAUGAGGGGAUGUUGAGGCAUUAGAUGAGCAAGAGGAGGAAAGAAGAUGGCCACAAAAGAAGAAAAGCACAAUCGGGAAUAAUGCAGUGCUGCUGCGAAUGUUAGAGCAACCCGUGCUGUAGCAAUCUGGGAGCAAUGCAGGAGAAAACUUAAGUGCGGGUCAGCGCAUGUGUCAUAAUUUAAUGUAUGCACGCUCAUGGGCUUUUGUUUACCCUAAUUUGCAAUAUAAAAGGGAGGCGUGCACCACAUAGAAAGGCGGCAAGGGAAUUAUCAUUAGAAUAAUUACAAAGGAAAGAAGAAGAAGAUCAGAAUUGAAGAGUGUUGUUUCGGUAACAUUGGAGAAUCGUGCAAAAUUAUUUGGAUUUGUCUUUCACAGUGCUCAACUUAUAUUUAUCUUCUUCCUUUAAUUGUUUUGAUGUAUUCCGAGAUCAAUAUAUUUAUGUUUAUUUUUCUCAUUCAGAUUAUAAACUAAAUUUACUUGUAGUUGAGUGACAAAUAAUCCAAUGGGUUCUUGACUGUUCUUAUAUGUUGUUAUGGCACUGCUGUAGCAUUUUACUCUAGUAGUUUUUAUGAAUAUAACUGUUAUUUCAGUUGACCACCCAUUUAAUAGUUUUAGUUAAGAUAGAGCAGCAAAAGGGCAUGUCUUAGCAGAUAUUAUUAGAGUAUUACUUGAUCUUAAAUUGAGUUUCCUGGAUUAGGUUAUCUUGUGAUUGCUUUAGUUGAGUUUCCUGGAUUAGAUAAAGUGAUGAGUAUUCAAGUUCUAUUGUGAUUGCUUUAAUAUUUUGAGUAACAUCAAUCCCUGUGGAGACGAUCUUGAAUACUCAUCACUUUAUUACUUGUUGUGUAUACUUGCACAUUGGCAUUGGUAGUAAUUACUUAUAAAAAAUUAACCAACAGUAGCUGAAAGAAGAAAUAGAACUCUUUUGGAUAUGGUGAGAUCUAUGCUUAGUUAUUCGUCAUUACCAAUCUCUUUUUGGGGACUAGCACUAGAAACUGUAGUUUACCUCUUGAACUUAGUUCCAUCUAAGUCAGUGCCUAAAACCCCAAUAGAAUUAUGGUCAGGUCGCAAACCAAGUUUACGACAUGUCUGUAUUUGGGGAUCACCAGCACAUGUGCUGAAACCAAAGGCAAACAAAAUGGAUUCACGCUCUGAGGUUUGUAUGUUUGUGGGAUAUCCCAAAGGAACAAGGGGAGGUUUAUUUUAUAGUCCUCAAGAUAGGAAAGUGAUCGUGAGCACACAUUUCACUUCCCUCGAGGAAGACUAUAUCAAUAACUUCAAACCUAAGAGUAAGGAAAUACUUGAAGAACUGUCAGGUGAUCAGGUUGAUGCUCAGCUUUCAACGCCUAUUACAGAACAAGAAGAGCAACAACAACCAGAUGAUCAACACAGGAUUAUCCCUUAACAACCAUUACUUCUAGAACCUUGUCGUAGUGGGAGGGUAACUAGGUUACCUGCGAGAUACAUGCUUUUGGGAGAAAACCUAUACGGCUAUCUCAUAUGAACAUGUACAAGAUCCCACUAGUUACAACGAAUCUCUAAUAGAUAGAGAUGUUGAAAUUUGGAAAAAGGCCAUGAAUCAAGAAAUGGAAUCUAUGUAUUCCAAUAAAGUCUGGAAACUUGUAGAGGCACCAAAUGGGGUAAAACCUAUAGGGUGCAAGUGGAUCUACAAGAGAAAAAGAGGAGUAGACGAAAGGGUGGAAACAUUUAAAGCAAGAUUAGUAGCCAAAGGAUUUACUCAGAAAGAGAGAAUCGAUUAUGAGGAAACCUUUUCUCCAAUUGCUAUGCUUAAAUCCAUCAGGAUUCUGCUCUCCAUUGCUGCAGUGCUAGAUUAUGAAAUUUUGUCAAAUGGAUGUCAAGACUGCCUUUCUUAACGAGCAUCUUGAAGAAAACAUCUACAUGCAGCAACCAGAUGGAUUUAUACAAAAAGGCCAAGAACACAUAGUAUGUAAGUUGCAGAGAUCCAUUUAUGGAACAUCAGAUUUGAUCAAGCGAUCAAAUCGUUUGGAUUCAUUCAGAACAUUGAUGAACCAUGUGUGUACAAGAAAAUUAAAAAAAAAAUCUGUAGCCUUCCUAAUUCUUUAUGUAGACGAAUUCUCCUAAUUGCAAACGAUAUAAGAGUAUUGACUACAAUAAAGAGUUGGUUAGCAAAACAAUUUGAUAUGAAAGACUUGGGAGAGGCAAGUUAUAUUCUUGGUAUCAAGUUACUACGAGACCGGAAGAAUAAAAAUUUAGUCUUGUCUCAAGCGGUCUAUAUCGAUAAGAUAUUGGCUAGAUUUAGCAUGGAAAAUUCCAAGACUGGUUUAUUACCAUUCAGACAUGGAAUUACAUUCUCUAAGGAUCAAUCACCUAAACCAUCUGAAGAGAUAGAGAGAAUGAGACGAGUUCCCUAUGCAGAAGUUGUGGGAAGUCUCAUGUAUGCCAUGCUUUGCACUAGGCCAGACAUCUAUUUUGCGGUAGGGAUGGUUAGUAGAUAUCAAUAUAAUCCUGGUCCUGAACACUAGAUUGCGGUCAAGUAUAUACUAGAUAUCUCACCUGGGUAUGUCUCCUUCAGACCUCUUGCUUGCUAAGCAAAAAUGUUCUCAGUUACUCUAAAGGUCUCAUUGAACCUACUGAUUCAGAUUGGGAUACGCUCGCCUCUAAUUUUCUAUACUGAGUAUGCUCUGCACUUACCUUAAGCCUAAGGAUCCUGUGUAUCAGAAAGGUCCUAUUUUUAUCCUCCAAAACCGAUUCCCUUUUCACUCAGACACAAUCCACACCUGUGCCUCCUCCUGUGUUUGAAACCUAUUCACCUUUUUAUACAUCUCCCAGACUUCCCCAACCUGUUUACAACCAGUUCUUUGGUUUCUCACAUCUCCAACCAACUCUUCAACCAAAAAACCAAAGUCUAAAGUCCAAAUUUCAGAACCGACGUCGGUUCAAUUGUAGGGAGGAGUUAAUUAGAAAUAAAAACUUAAGUUUCCUUACAUCGUGUUUCCCUAAAUCCUCUCUCUCUCUUCUAGGGCUCAAACAAUUUAUUUGGGUUAAUAAUGAUAGGCUCGCCUCUAAUUUCUGGGUUGGUGACAGUAUAAUGUGGAUUUUCAGUAGGAAGAAGGGAUUCAAAAUCUUCCCAUGGGUCCUGAGCGUCUUGGAAUAAGAUGUUGGUGUAAUCAGGGCGUUAAAGCACACUUAUCUAGUCUAGAAGACUGGAUAUACUCUUUUGGUAGUGGUCUUUUUGUGGAGAUGAGGGUUCGAAUACUUCUGGUGAGAGAAGUUUUUUGUUUGUAAAGGUUGUAGGGACUCAUGAUAGGAAACUGUGAUUCAUUGAUUUGGGCAGAUUCAGGAGUAUAAGAAUAUUUGACAAGAUUUUCAAUUCCUCUGAUCAUGAGCAUAAAGCAUCUCACACCGAACCAGUGCCACCAAUGCCACCACCAGCUCAUGAUCACUUAACAAAACAACUCAUUCCAGUGGGUUAUACUGAUUCUGACUUUAUGUCAGAUAAGGAUUCCAGAAAAUCAACUUCCGGCUAUGUGUUUACAUUGUGAAGUGGAGCUAUUAGUUGGAGGAGUGUGAAACAAUCUUGUAUCGUAGACUCCACAACUAAAGUUGAAUAUGUGGCUGCAUUCGAAGCUGCAAAAGAAGCUGUAUGGCUCCGCAAGUUCCUACAAGAUCUUGAGGUGGUACCUGCUGUAACUGCACCCCUUAAACUAUUUUGCGAUAAUAGUGGUGCGGUAGCUCAAUCUGAGGAACCAAGGAACCACAAGAAACAAAAACAUAUUGAGAGGAAGUAUCAUCUUAUAAGGGAUAUAGUGCAGAGAGGUGAUGUGAAGGUUACUCAGAUUGCAUCACAGCAAAACUUGGCAGAUCCUUUUACUAAGGCUAUACUUGGGAAACCUUUUAACUUGCACUUAGAAUCCAUGGACAUGCAUGAGAUGCCAAAUAUGCUUUGAGAGCUAGUGGGAGAUUGUUGGGAAAAUGUGCUCUUUAAAAGCAUAUGUGUUUAUUUUAUUGUAAUAAACAUUUUUUCUAAUUAAUAAAAUAAAUGAGGUAUUUUAUUCAAAUAUCUUAAUUGCAUUAAUAUUUUGAUUAAAAUCCAUUUAAUCAUAUUAUAUGUAUUUAUGUGAUCACCAUGUGGAUUCACAAAAAACAUAAAUACAAGUUAUCUUAUGAUUAAAUAAAUUUAGUUCGCAGUUGAUAAAUAAAGUUGGGCACUUUAUUUAGGUAUAGACUGUAAUGAAUUCAUUGAAUGAUUUGUCUUAAUCAUGUAUGAAUUUAUUGAUGUAGUACGACUACAUUGAACAGGAUCACAUAUGAGAUUUAAUUAACUUUGUAAUAACUGUAAGACUUAUUAAAUCUCAUAGGCAUUGAUUUUACUGUAAUCUUAAUCUUGAGUUAAUUAUGAUUUCAUGAUUGUAAUUGUUAUUCCAUUUGAGUUACCAAUGGGCACGACACAUACUUGUGGUCAAGAUUACCCGGCAUCUUGGUGGGAGCAAUUAUGAGUAUUGGAGUUAUGGAUUAACAAUAUAGAAUUUGUACAACACAUCUCUUGAUGGGUUUUCGGCACUUGAUUAUAGAAUUCUCUGGCCAGAGUGUGUCAACAUAUUUAGUAUGUUGAAAAUGAUCAUUAGAGAAAACUAGUAAGUAUCAAGGAACAAAAUGUAAUUAAAUUGAUUGGACAGUUGAGAUAUCGAUUUAAUUAAUGAUGUGGUACAAAGGAUUGUGCAGUAAAGAAAUCAAUGUGGCUUGAGAUGAAUUAUUAUUCGAGCAUACAAUUAUGGAGUUCAAUUCCAAUCUUUUAGUGGAGUAGAUUUGGAAUUAAAUAAUUAGGCUAUUUUAAUUACAGGCGUAAUUAUUAUAGCCACUAUUGUAUGUUCCCAAAUGAUCCCUGGGUUAGCUCAUUUAAUUGACUGCACCACUACUGGAUUAAUAAGCAAGAUAACUAGCAAUUUGGGUCAAAAGCCUAAAUAUAUCAUUUAGUAGGAAGCUCCAUUUAAUUAGCUUGUGUGUAAGGGGCCUUAUUUUAUUUUACAAGGUGGGUCCUCUAUAGAAAAAGCAAGUAAUGUGAGUUUUUUUUUCAUUAUUUGGAGCCUAGAGUUUUCACUAAAGGGAGAUAUAAAAAGGCUUAUUUUCUCUAAAGAAAAAGAGAGCAGCCACUUUAUACAGAUCAGAGAAAAAUAUUUUUCUCUCUAUUGUUGAGAGAAAAAUUUUCUCGUGCUAGUUGCUUUAGUGGUGAUAAAGGCGCCCACACGUCAAGUGCAGUUCAAACCUAAUUCAUAAUCUGGAAGAUCAUUGGUGACAGUUCAUGAUCUAACAAGCGUGGUGGUGACAGAUCGUGAUCUAACAGGAGUGGUGGUGACGGAUCGUGAUCUAGGAGCCUAAAUCACUUCAGCGGAAAAAGCCAAAUCAGAUUUUCAAGGUACGAUUUCUAGAUUACAAAUUCUUAUAUAUUGUAUGAGACCGAUCUUAAAAGGUUUCAUAAAAAUUAAAAAAACUGAUUUUUCUCCAACAUUAUUAUCAUUAGAUAUCUCAUAUCAAAUAAUAAUAAACUACACAUUCAUUUAAUCUUUCAAUUUAAUUAAUAAGAACUCCGUAGGGAGGAUAUUAACGAACUUAAAUUGAGUUAUAACCAUUAUUUCAAUCUCUUUUAUUUCGUAAAACAAAAGAGCUAUUGUUUGGCAAUCAAUUUUAAUGAGUCAUACCAAAGAUUUUAUCUUUAGAUAAGUCCUAUCUAAUAGCCAGUUUUAAUUAAUACCCUCUAUAAGGAGCUUAUCUAAUUGGAUGUGAGGUAUUAAUCUACCUUACUGUAGGGUCAACGAUGGAGGCUGUGGGCUUUAUGCCCAGUGGUCUCUCCCACUCAAUAUUUGUAAGUUAGAGUUUUCUUUUAAUACUCUUAAUUGAUUAAUUAAUUGACAUUCCAUCAAGUAUAACUUUAUAAAACAGAACAACUGUUGUUUGGCAGUCAGUUUUAACGAGUCAUACUCAAGUUUUUAUCUUUCAGACAAGUCCUAUGUAAGAGCCAGUUUUAAUUUAAUACUCGUCGUAGGGAGCUCAUCUAAUUGAAGGUGAGGUACUAAUCUACCUCAUUACAGGACCAACUAUGGAGGCUGUGUGCUUUAUGCCUAGUGCCCUUUCCCACUAAAUAUUUGUAAGUUAGAGUUUUCAUUUAAUAUUCUAAGUUGAUUAAUUAAUUUCCACCAAGUAAUAUCUAAUUUUAUAAAACAAAACUAUUAUUUGGCAGUCAAUUUUAAUGAGUCGCACUCAAGAUUUUAUCUUUUAGAUAAGUCCUAUCUAGUAGCCAAUUUUAAUUCAUACCCUCUGAAGGGAGCUCAUCUAAUUGGAGGCGAGGUAUUAAUCUACCUUGCUAUAGGACCAAUGAUGGAGGUUGUGGGCUUUAUGCCGAGUCCUCUCCCACUCAUAUCAUUAACAAUUACCGAUUAAAAAUUUCACAUAUAAUAUAUAAUAUAUUGCCACUAUAUAUCAUCAAAGCUUGAAAAGGGAAAAUUCAAGUUGUCGCCUUGCUGAGUUCGAAUGGAGCUUGGAGGAAUUUGGUGAUGGUGGAAGUGUGGAGUAGCAGAUCCGGUCGCAGUCCUCGCAAAAUAGCAGAUUGGGCUAGCAUCGGUGAUGACUACUAGAAAAAUGGGGUUGGUGCGUCUACUUCUGCAGAUUGCAGGCUACGCUACAUCUGGUAGUCAGGUGCCACUUGUUUUUCUGAUGUAGGCGUGUGUGAAAAGUGGACACUCUGUGUGUGAGUGUUUCUUGUCUUCUUGAGAAAUGAAGGGAGGUUAUCGGUUGUGUGUGUUUCUGAGUGAGGGAGGUUGUGCGUGUAUGACUCAUUGUAUCUUAGGUUUCAAUUUCACUAAUUUUUGAUGAUUUUAAAGCCAACCGAUUGGUGUUUCUAAUCCGAUCAUGAUCCGAUUGGGUUAGCAAAAAGGCAUCUAAUUGGGUCUUGUUAACAAUUCGAUCCAAUCUAAACCAAAUAUUUUUUUAAUUAGGUUGAGUUGAGUCGGAUCAGAUUGGAUAUUUUGCCCAGCCCUAAUUGUAAUAUUUUCAACCACCACAGUUGGGAUCUAGAAAAUAUGGCAAUCUUUUCCAUCAUCAUUGUUGAGUUCUAUAGAAUAGGUUUACAGUACUCUCUUAUACACGAUAAGAAAUAAAUUCUUUUGGGACAAUAUUUUUUAUAAGGGAUUAAAUUUUGUUGCUAAAUGCUACUUUUUAGGACCAUAGUUGAUAUCGCCGCUAAAUGUCUUUUUUUUUUUCUAUGGCCAAAUUAAAUUCAUCACAAAAGCUCACUUUUUGCGACAAAACACAUUUUUCAUAGUAAAAACAUUUGCCAAAUAUAUUUAUUUUUAUAAUUUAUUUGCGACCAAACACAAUUCCUUUGCAAAUUCUAUUUCAAUCACCACUUAAAGAUUUUAUUCCAAAAAAGAAAGGUGAUAUCCCAAAUGUCUACUUAUUACGUCCUUUUUCAAAUUAUUUCAAGAAGCCAAAUAUUUUCGCAGGAAAUCUUCAGCCAAAACAAAUUGUAAGAGAUAUUUACAAUGCUUUAUACGACAAAUCAUUAUUUGGUGACUAAAGGUAGACAUUUUACAACCAAUUUUACAUUAAUCACAAAAAAAUGAUAUAUAAAAUCUUAUAUCAUUUUAGCGACAUCUUUAAAAUAUUGUUGCAAAAAACGAAAUAUUUUUGGUGGAAAUGUAACCCCUUUACAUAAGUAUACUUAAUUUAAAUAACUUUUUGUGACCAAAUUUAAAUAUGAUUGCAAAAGAAUUACAUGUCAUAUAUAUUUGUAUUAUUCUUCUCUCUUUCUUUUUUAUCUUUAAGUUAUCUCACUCUUAUAAUUCUCAUUCUCUUGUUCUCUCUCUAUCUUCUUAGCUUAUUUUUUUGUUACAUAAUUUUCUUUAAUUAUCAUGUGUAGGAGUGAACUAGCCUUUGUGCUUUUUUUUCUUUUUUCUGGGUGUAGGAAUUAAAUAUUGAAGAUCAUAUACAAGGAAGUGAAGAAAAUCGUGAUGUAAGAAGGUGAAGAAAAUCAAGAAAUUUAUAAAUAAAUAUAAUUGUUCCAUAUAUUACAAUGCUAUUUGGAGAUAAUUAUGUAAUUGUUCCAAAUGUUACAAUUAUGUAAUUGUUCUAAAUGAUAGAGCUUCAUUUGCUAAACUUUUUUGUAUUUUUAUCAAUAAUAAAUUUCGUAAUUUAAAUCUUCUGCUUUCUUGAAGUUUGUUAUAAUUGUUUUAAUUAUGAAAGAAAAAUUCAAUAAAAAUUUAACAAAUAAAAAUUUUAUAAAAUUAUAAUAAAAAUAUAAUGUUAUAUUUAAAUUUUUUUUUUUGCGACUACUUUUAGUACAGUCACAAAUAUUGUUAAUCUACAACCAAACAAUUAACGACAAAAAAAGCAACGGAGAGAAAGUGAAAUCAUUUUUUGUGACCAUUUCUUUUGUCAAUAAAAGUUUUUUUGCAACCAACUUAAAAAGUGGUCAGGUAUAUUUUUCCUUGAUGGACCUAAUUUGACUAACUUGCAACCAUAAUUUUUUUUGUCACAAAUUAUUUUCAAGGACAAAUUUGAUAUUUUUUUGCGACGAAUUGUUUUGUGACAAAUGGCCAUAAUUCUAAUUGUGCUAUCUCCAUCUUCUUUGUUGCUAUCUCAGUCUUCUCUGUUGCUAUUUCAAUCUUUUCUGUUAUUCUUAAUCAUCUCUUACAUGUGUGGGCGUAUAGAGAACCCUAAUUUCCGUGCAAGAGAUGGAAACCCUAGAACAAUAUUUUUCUUUUAAGAAAAACUGUACGUAAAGUUAUUUUUCUAUUCUCCUACAUGUGUGGCCUAUUUUUCUUUUAAAUAGGCACUUAUUAGAGAUAGAAUUUAACUAGGAAUUAAGCUAGUAAAGGGACCGUAGGCCCAUGGGCUUUCUAUCUCUAACUUAAUAGUCAAGGCCUAGUCAUCUGAUGAUGAACUAAAACUAUUAAGUUAACCACAAGGUACUCCACUAAAAGUCUAAAGUUGCACUCUAAUAACCCAUGUAAUUAAAUAAAAACCUGAUUAAUUGAAUCUCCCUUUAAUUAAUAUUAGUCUUGGUCUUGGAUAAAAAAUAACCAUUUCAUUGACCUUCUAUCUAAUGCUCAUAAUUAAAGCUUGGCUAAUGACAGUUGUUGUACCUCUAUAAUUAUAUAUUUACCACUACGUCAUUAUUUGUUCUAAUGAUCACUUUUAAUAUAUCUAUAUCUGUAAAUAAAUUACAAACAAAUAUUAUUAUUCAAUAAAUAAUUUAUUAAAUAAACUGGGGCUAGAGAUUUAAAUGAUCAGGUACCACAAAUAACUCAGGUAAGCAUCGUUAAUAUAUAUUGCAUCUUGUAUAUCUGUAUAAUGUGGCCUCUUCUUCUUUUUGGGAGAAAAUAAGCCCUUUUGUAUCUCUAUCUUAGUGGAAACCCUAGGCUCCAUAUUUUUAUAAUUUUAAUUCUAUUAAAUCAAAUUUGAUUUAAAUUAAAAAUAAUAAAAUCAAAAGCAACGUUACUUCUUCUUGUCAUAGGGGCCCAUCUUGUAAAAUAACACAAGACCCCUUAGACAUAAGUACAUUACAUGGAGCCUCUUACUAAAUAAUAUAUUUGGGCUUUUAACCCAAAAAGCUAGUUAUCUUACUUAUUAAUCCAGUAGCGGUGCAGUCAAUUACAUGAGCUAACCCGAGGAUCAUUUGGGAACAUACAAUAGUGGUUACAACAAUUAAACUUGUAAAUGAACAAGCCUAAUCAAUUAAUUCCAACUCUACUCCACUAUAAGAUUGGAACUGACCCCCAUAAUUGUAUGCUCGAAUAAUAAUUCGUCCCAAACCACAUUGAUUUCUUUAUUGCAUAAACAUUUGUACCACAUCGUUAUUUAAAUCGAUAUCUCAAUUGUCCAAUUGAUUUAAUUACAUCUUGUUCCUUGAUACUUACUGGGUUUCUCUAAUGAUCAUUUUCAACAUACUAAAUAUUUUGACAUACUCUAUACUAAAUAUUUUGACAUACUCUGGCCAGAGAAUUCUAUGAUCAAGUGUCGAAAACCCAUCAAGAGAUGUGUUGUACAAAUUCUAUAUUGUUAAUAUAUAACUCCAAUACUCAUGAUUGCUCCCAUCAAGAUACCGGGUAAUCUUGACUACAAGUGUGUGUCGUACCCAUUGGUAACUCAAAUGAAAUAAUAAUUUGUUGAGAUUGAACACAACAGAAGCCAAAAAGAAUCUCCAAGAAUGAAGUAAAGAACCGAGAACCCACUUGCAAGAUCAUAAACCAGAUCUUGAACACCAACACCAGACAUGACAAUUCAAAGGGAAAACUAGCACUUUUAUAUUACUCAAAACGAUUACAAAUCUGUCAAGCCUUGUAAAAGAAAUCACAAGCUUUACAAAGAAUUCAUGAUCACUCAAAUUGAAUGAAAAACGAAAGAUAAAUGUAACUGAUAUAAGAUGACACGCAUCAGCUCUGUUUAUAAAGCUAACUCUAAAGAUUCCUAGAAGCUGCUCAACAAACAUAACGAACUUUUAGACACGUCAGCAACGAAGUUGCACGUCGACCCUCAAACUUAAGUCAAUUUGUACAAAAGUCACAUAAGUCUUAACUCUUUACAUUUAACCCCCUAAAAAUAGAAUAUGAUUCUUCAAAAUCUCCACCUUGCAGACUUGAUUCAGUUUGAUUCUUGACCAUAAAAGCUGCUUCAAAAAACCCCUUUAAGCGCACAGCCUUUAAGCACACAACUUAACACUCGAUUACACAAAGUAAUCACUGUGAGUUUGCCACGACUCCCAUCAAGUUUACACAAAACUUGAACUUAGCAGUGGGAACCACUUUUGUAAGUACAUCAGCAAGAUUUACAUCAGUGUGUAUUUUGGACACUGACACAGCACCUUUAGACACUUCAUCUCUGAUGAAAUGGAGCCUAGCAUCAAUGUGCUUAGUCCUCUCAUGAUAGACUUGAUUUUUAAUAAGGAGGAUUACACUUUGAUUGUCACAGAAAAUGGUGAAAAUAUUUUGUCUUAACCAAAGUUCAUUCAAAAUUCCACUAAGCCACUUUCCCUCUUUUACUGCCUCUGUUGCAGCAACAAAAUCAGCCUAUAUAGAAGACAAAGUAACCACAGGUUGAAAAGUUGUUUUCUAACUGAUCAGACAGCCAUUCACCAUGAACAAGUAGCCUGAGAUUGAUUUCCUCUCAUUCAAAUCACCUGCAAAAUCUGAGUCUACAUAUCCCACUACACUAUUGUCAUCCUGCUUUGACCUUCCAUACAUCAAACCAUGAUCGGGAGUACCUUUAAGGUAUCUCAUAAUCCAUUUCACAGCAUCUCAGUGCUCUUUUCCAGGAUGACUCAUGAAUCUGCUAACAAGACUAACAGCAUAAGCAAUACCAGCCCUAGUACAUACCAUUGCGUACAUGAGGCUCCCAAUUGCAUGUGCAUAUGGCACUUCACUCAUCAUAAACUUAUCUUGAUUUGUGACAGGAGCUUGCACCUUUGAAAGUUUGAACUGAGAUCCUAAUGGUGUCUGAAUAGACUUUGCAUCCAACAUAUCAAAUCUGUCAAGAACCUUUAGAAUGUACCUCUCUUAACUGACAAAUAGAGUUCCAGCAGCUCUAUCCCUUAUGAUGUCCAUCCCAAGUAUCCUCUUAGCACAUCCCAGAUCCUUCAUUUCAAAUUCUGCAUUUAAUAGGUCUUUGAGUUUCUUAAUCUCACUCCUAUCCUUGUUAGCAAGUAACAUAUCAACAACAUACAACAGAAGGUAAACAGCUCCACCUGAACUUGAGCUUCCAAAGUAAACACAACUAUCAUAUUUACUUCUGAGAUAGCCAUUGGAGAUCAUGAACUCAUCAAAUCUCCUGUACCAUUGUCUUAGAGAUUGCUUUAAUCUGUAAAGGGACUUGUUUAAGUGACAAACAUAAUCUUCCUUCCCUUUGACCUGAAAACCCUCUGGUUGUGUCAUCAGGAUUUCUACCUCAAGCUUCCCAUGCAGAAAAGUUGUCUUCACAUCCAUCUGAUCAAGCUCUAUAUUAGUCAGAGCUACCAUUGACAGUAACAUCCUUAUGGAGCUAUGUUUAACCACAGGUGAAAAAACACACUUUCUUUUUGUGUGAAACCUCUAGUAACCAAUCUAGUCUUGAAUCUUGAAGCUUUAGCUCCUGGAAUUCCUUCUUUUCUUUUAAAAAUCCACUUACAGCUUACCAACCUUCUAUUGCCUGGAUUUGUGACAAGAGUCCAAGUCUUGUUCUUAAUUAAGGAAUCCAUUUCUUCUUCCAUGGCUUUGAUCCAGUUACCAGGGUCACUACUCUUCACAGCUUCUCUGUAGCUUGUUGGUUCUUCAAUAGCUAUGUCCUCUACACUGUUAAGGGCAUAAGCUACCAUCCCAGCAUAUGCAUAUUUGGAAGGUGGUUUUGUCUCCCUUCUUGCUCUGUCUCUUGCUAGUUGAUAAUCAUGCAGCUCAAACACUGAAAUUCUUGAAUCAUUCACUUCAAACCUUUCUUGAAAAUCUUCUGUAGCACCUACAUAUUGAUCCCCUCUGUCACUGCUACUUGUUGACUCCACCUCAAUUAUGGAAUCUUUUACUACUAUAGCUUCCUUCAUUGAUUCAUCAGUAUAAGGGGUGAAGUCAAAGACAAUAGUCUUUAUCCUCUAGCAUAGCUUCCUCAUGAAAUGUAACAUCUUUACUGAUGAUACAUUUAUGAGUGGCACCACACCACACCUUAUACCCCUUAACUCCCUCAGGAUAUCCCACAAACACCCCUUUCAGAGCCCUUGAAUCCAGCUUCCCUUGCUUGACAUGCAAAUAGGCUAUACAUCCAAAGAUUCUCAGAUGUUUGUAAUCUGCAAGUACACCAGUCCAGACUUCUUCAGGAGUCUCAAACUUGAGAGCUGCAGAGGGACUCCUGUUAACCAAGUAGCAGGCUGUGGUUAUAGCUUCAGCCUAGAAGCUUCUUGGUAGCUUGGAGUUUAUGAGCGGACAUCUUGUCUUAUCAAUAAGGGUUCUGUUCAUCCUCUCAGCUAAUCCAUUUUGCUAAGGGGUGAACUUGACAGUCUUGUGUCUGGUGAUUCCAUGCUUCUGACAGUACUCAUCAAACUCUUUAUUACAAAAUUUGAGUCCAUUAUCAGUCCUCAAUGCUUUCAGCUUCAUUUCAGACUGAUUCUCAACCAGAGUUCUCCAUAUUUUGAAUUUCCCAAACGCUUGAUCUUUAGUCUUGAGAAUAUAUAACCAGACUUUCCUUGAAAAAUCAUCUAUGAAUGUUACAAUAUAUCUGCCACCACUUAGAGAUGGCACUUGAGCAGGCCCCCAUAGAUUAGAGUGUGCAUAAUCCAAUACAACUUUGGAUUUAUGCAUUCCCCUUUCAAACUUCAUUCUGUGAGCCUUCCCAAAGAUGCAAUUUUCAGAGAACUUUAUCUCUUCAACCUUAUCUCUACAUAACAACCCCCUUUUACUUAGUUCUUAUAAGCCUUUAGCACUCAUGUGCCCAAGUCUUAGAUGCCAUAGCUUGGCUUUAUCUACAUCAGAAACAAUAUACAAUGCAGACAACACAGGUACGGAUGACCCUUCCAGCACAUACAAUCCAUUUUUCAUGACCCUCUUCAUUACUAUACUGGAGUUUUUCAUUACCUUUAAGCCCCCAUGAUCAGACUUAAAGAUAUAUCCUGAGCUAUCUAACAUGCCUAAAGAUAUCAAAUUCUUUUUUAAUCCUGGUACAUGCCUAACAUGCUCUAGGGCCCUUGUGGUUCCAUCAUACAUUCUGAUUUUAACAAAACCAAUUCCCACAAUUUUACAAGCAUUGUGGUUUCCCAUUAAGACCCUACCUCCAUCUAUAAUUUUAUACUCAUGAAAAAGGGUUUUAUCAGGACUCAUAUGGAAAGAACAACUAGAGUUUAGAACCCGCUGACUUUCAAUCUUUCCAUUCGAUGCCACCGGCAAGUCUGUACUUUGAUAGCCUCCAUCAGAUGAUUCAUUAGAUGCUACAGCAACAUCUCCUGAUUUUUCUUUGUUGUCUCUCUUCUUCUCAACACAGUCUCUGAUGUAAUGGCCUGUCUUCUUACAGUAAAACAUUUUCUUCUUUUCAUUUUCUCUUUCUCAGACUUAUCCUCUUUCUUGGACUGAUUCUUGUUCUUCUUUUUCUUCUUAUCUUUCUUCUUUUUCAGCUUUUGCCACCAACCCUUCACUAGGGUUUUGAUCUAGAUCUCCAGAAUUCCUUUGAAUUUCUUUCGAACACAAAGAGGCCUUCACAUCUUCUAGUGUGAGAGUUGUUCUCCCAUAUAGCAUGGUAUCAGCCAAGAAAGCACAUUGCCCAAGAGUUGCUUCACUUUCCAGAUCAGUAACUUUCCAAAAAGCAAGUUCAACAGUAUAACGUUUCUUUUAAACCUACAAUGUUUCUUUUAAGGUCAUAUAACCCAAAACAGACUUUCCUUAGUCUUUAAAAUAGGGUACCAAACCGUUUAAGAAAUCAUCAUAAGUUUUCUGAUGCAUAGGAUCCUUACUGGAAGGCAAGUGCAGAGCAUACUUCCUUAAAGUUUCAAAAUGAACAAAUUUAAUUCUUUAUUCCUUUUCUUUCUCUAGAUCUUCAUUUGCAGAGAGAGAAGAGAGUUUAGAAAUUCAUAGUUUUAUGGAAACACACGAGAGUUUAUUUCUUCGAAAACUUCUAUAUCUUACAAACGAAGGGAGAAUUCUUUAUAUAGGAGAAUUCUCAGAGAAGAUAGGACAUGAUCCCUAUCUUUUACAAAAGCAAAAGUAGAAAAGACACAUCAUGACAGCUUUAAUGAUUACAAAGGACAAAGUGUGCUUUAAUUAAAGCAUGACUUUGACAAAAGCAAAAGCUUAAAGACCUAAACCAAAGCCUAAACCUCAACCACGCCCCAUCAACAUAAAAGGCUUGGCAAGCCCAUUGAGAACUUGUGGGCUCGAUUAGACCUUGGGCUAAUAGUUGUGAGUUGCUGAUCUGGAAAGUGAAGCAACUCUUGGGCAAUGUGCUUUCCUGGCUGAUAAUGGCCGUCCUUUAUGAUCAUCCCAAAAUGACGGAUACCCUGUUUAUCAAGCAAAGCAAAAUGGACAUUUCCUAUAGGAUGUCCCAGGCUCCGGCAUGUGUGACCCAAAUUGUCCCUGCUGGGAUGAUUGGGAAGAGGAUGAUGAUUAUGCCACCAAAAAGAGACCCAAAAAGAAAAAACCUCCAAUCUCAUGUCAACACUGUGAACCCAAAUCCCCAAGAGAUCCUCCACCUCCACCAGCUCCGUUACCCAUCUACAACACAGAACUCAAAUCGAUUGCAAACCUGAGAUUCCGUCCCCCAUCCCAAACUCCACAUCUAUCGUACAACCCUUAGCUUGUAUGAUGUUUUCUUCUCCCUCUUCAGACUACUCUUCCUCCUUUCCUCCAUUAGAAACUCACACAGAUUCCCAAUGAAAUGUGGUAUCCAAACCUUUUAUCCCUUCAGCUAUUACCUCAACUGGCCACCUAGAAUCUCCCAAACCUUUUGAAUCCGUCCUUAACUAGCAAACCCAAAAUGCCAGAGCACAUAAUGAUACUUUGUUGCUUAUUAAUUCAAAAGUUGAGAACAUCAGUUUACGAACUGAACAGAUUGAGAUGAAAGUUGACUCCAUUACUGCACAGAUGCAGCAGAUCCACCACAAUCUUCAAUCCAGAAUUACUCAACUAGAUUCAGAGUUACGAACCAUGCUUGCUCAAAGAUACUAUGGCCCAGAAUUUGACCAAAAAGAAAGGGAAAUUAGAUGCUUAAAAGCUGAGCUUGAUCAGAUUGAAUCUGAAAAACAAAGACCUACCAUUUUUACCACAUCGCCUCCUAUCCCUUCCAUAGGUCCAACUUAUCAUCCAUUUGCCUCUAUGCUUUCCCCCAUCAAACAGUAUAACCCUUCCAAGUUAUUUGGCAUGACUCGUACUCUUUUAAGAGACAAUCCCUUACCACCACCACCUAAACCUAAACCAAAACCUAAACCUCAACCACGCCCCGUCAAAAUUCAUCAGCCAUCCAUGUCCAUUCCUGGACAACAGUCCCCACCGCCCGCACCUCCACUACCACCUCAAUCCCAACCUCAGCCUCAGUCCAAAGACAAAAAACCCAUGCACCAGUAUAGUGCCCACACCGUAGAUCCAUCAUCUACUCCUGAUGAUCAAACUUCUGCUCCAACUUCUAAUUCAAAUCUAGCCAUUUCCAACAGCCAUACUGAGUCUGACACACCAUCUUCAAUAUCCACUAGUGAUUUUGAAAAGUCUUAUGCUGAUAUCACCAGAAUCUUGAUGGCCCAACUUGAUCCACCUGAUCAUGGCCAAACCUCUCACACAGAACCAUAUGUUGAUAUUCCUUCAAAAGUUGACGACGACAUGCCUUAAUUCUCUGCCACACACCAACCCCCUCCAACCCAAGCCCAGACCGGUCCAACAAGUCAAAAAUCGUCAAAUGGUCCAUGGUUCACAUUUGAUGAUCUUCCAUCUCAUAAAUGGAGAGAGAGACUUACUGAAAUGUCUGCUUGGAUUGACCUCCAAAUGCUAAGGCCUAGAGCAACGACUCAAUCAGUCCUUAGAGAAUUUACUACUCGUUUUACGAGUGCUCUAAGAGAUUGGUUUGAUUCUUUAGGCCAAUACAGACAAUUACAGUUUGUUCAAUUACCAGAAGUCUCAAGUGCCCUUGCGGUUAUUCAUGACCAAUUCCUUGGAGACCCCUCUGCAGUUUUUGAAGCUGCACGACGAGACUAUCUCAACAUGAAAUGCUGCUCACUCAAUGCUAAGGAUCUUGACUUUCAUUACAAACGAAUGUCCUUGCUGUUCUAUAAGCUUAAUGGCUUCAAUGAGCCAACGUUAAAGCAUGUCUUUCUGGCUUCCUUUCCAGACGAGCUCCAACCCGAUAUACAACGGCAACUCACCGCCUCCAAUCUCAUCCUUGACAACCUCUCUCUUGGAAAAAUCUUCUAGAUUGCCAAAGCAUGCUUUGAUAAACUUUGCGAGUAGAAACAGUUUUUCAAAGAACUGUUGAGAGAUAACGAACCAUUCAGGAGUGCCUGCAAAAAGCCCUAUUUGCAGAUCACAUGUAAAAAGAAAAAGGAUUGUGAUUGCAGUUCUAAGAAGAAAAGGCAUUUUCAUAAAUUCAAAAAUCCAGAAGUUUCAUCCAAACCCCGCAGGUCCAGAAAGCCCUACCGAUUCUUCAGAAAAAAAGCAUCUUCCUCUAGAGAAUUCAAACGAAAAUCAUCAAGCAAAUGUUUCAUCUACAAGAGGAAAGGUCAUUAUGCUAAAGAUUGUCCCAACAAACGAGAGAAAUCCAUCCGGCAAGUCGAACAUCUUCAAGCCACUACAGACUACUCUCCCGCGAUGGAUGAACUGGAAUUCUAUUUCUCUGAGCAAGAUGAACCCAAUGAUGAAACCGUGUUCGCAUUACAAAAUUCCUCUGAUGAUUCAGACAGUGAUGUGUCUCAAGUUAUCUUCCACUAAGAAUUAAUGUCCCUUGACACUACUGUUCCUAUACCCUCCAUCAAACUCCAUAUCUUGCCCUCAAAAUUCCAAAGGCCCAUUCCAGCAAUUGGCCUUAUAGAUACUAGCGCCCAACACAGCAUGUUAAACCCCAAUAUCCUUCCACCUAAAUACUAGACAAAGUACGAAGAAAAUUUCAGGGCCGUCAAUGGCAAAUUUUUCACUACCUUUUUGAUUACCAACAAACCCAUUGGUAUUCAAAUCUUCCCAAAUUGUGUCAUUUGGACCAAGAUUAUCGGUUCAACCCUUCCUAAUAAGGAUAUCUUGUUAGGAUUUGACAUACUUCACCAAAUCACACACCUCCAAAUCAUUCCCACUGGAAUCUGAGUCAAGUCCAUGUUCAAACCAUUCACAGACAUUCUGAAACUCUACAAUUUGUCUGAUACUCCCCAGUCCUACUAGGAUAUUUCAUCCCAUCUUUUGCGUUUCUGUCCAGAGUCCCAUUCUAAGUUCACCCAUCCAACUCCAUUGUGGAAAAACCCGUCUUUCUUUAUUAAGUUACCUUUCAAACUCAAUGAAGACAUUAACCCGACCAAAGCUACUCAUCCAGGAAUGAGUCCUUCUGACUUACUCCUAGCCCAAAAAGAAUGUUCACAACUGUUAGCCCAAGGUCUAAUCGAGCCCACAAGUUCUCAAUGGGCUUGCCAAGCCUUUUAUGUUGAAAAGCAUUCUGAAAUUGUCCGAGGAAAGAAACGCUUAGUCAUUGACUAUCAACCACUAAAUAUGUUUUUGCAAGAUGACAAAUUUCCUUUGCCUCGAUGACAAAGCAUGUUUACUUUUUCUAAAAAAUGCCCAGAUCUUUUCCAAAUUUGAUUUAAAAUUAGGUUUUUGGCAAUUAGGCAUUGAACCCUCGGAGCGUUAAAAAACUACCUUUUGUAUCCCAAAUGCCCAUUAUCAAUGGACAGUCCUUCCCUUCGGCCUCAAAACUGCCUCAUCCAUUUUUCAAAAAUCCAUGGUCAAAAUCUUUCACCCUAUUCUGCAUCAUACAUUAAUUUACAUUGAUGAUAUCUUGCUUUUUUCAGGAUCACAUGAUGUACAUCACCAGCUGUUAACUCAAUUCUAUGAUAUUGUCAAAAGUCAUGGAAUCAUGCUGUCUGCCAAGAAAAGCACCAUUCCCACGAAUAACAUUGAAUUCCUUGGUAUGAUCAUAAAGGACGGUCAUUAUCAGCCAGGAAAGCACAUUGCCCAAGAGUUGCUUUACCUUCCAGAUCAGCAACUUUCCAAAAAGCAAGUUCAACAGUUUCUCGGCAUUAUCAAUUACAUCAGAGACUUCAUCCCGCAUGUGGACCGCUAUACUCACCACCUCUCGGCUUUAUUGAAAAAGAAGCCCCUAGAGUGGAAUGCUGACUACACAACUGCUGUCACUACCCUCAAACAAAUUGCGCAAAGUAGUUUGUCUUGUUGUAAUAAUUAUGUUCUACAUUAUGGUUUUGCCUAUAUAAUUAUUAAGGCUUGCUUUUACUUUAAGCUUUUGCUUUUGUCAAAGUCAUGCUUUAAUUAAAGCACACUUUGUCCUUUGUAAUCAUUAAAGUUGUCAUGAUAUGUUUUUUCUACUUUUGCUUUUGUAAAAGAUAGGGGUCCUGUCCUAUCUUCUCCGAGAAUUCUCCUAUAUAAAGAAUUCUCCCUUCGUUUGUAAGAUCUGUUUUCGAAGAAAUAAACUCUCGUGUGUUUCCAUAAAACUAUGAAUUUCUAAACUCUCUUCUCUCUCUGCAAAUGAAGAUCUAGAGAAAGAAAAGGAAUAAAGAAUUAAAUUUGUUCAUUUUGAAACUUUAAGGAAGUAUGCUCUGCACUUGCCUUCCAGUAAGGAUCCUGUGCAUCAGAAAACUUAUGAUGAUUUCUUAAAUGGUUUGGUACCCUGUUUUAAAGACUAAGGAAAGUCUGUUUUGGGUUAUAUGACCUUAAAAGAAAUGUUGUAGGUUUAAAAGAAACGUUGUAGAUUUUACUAUUUUCAAGAGUAGAUGCACAUUCUAUGUCAAUGAUAUAAACAUUACCACAUCUAUUCCCAACAAAUAAGAUCUUGCCAUCACAUGAAUUCUCAAUAACACAACUAAAUUUAUCAAAGAUAACUUUAUAACCUUUGUCACAUAAUUGACUAAUACUAAUUAAGUUGUGUUUCAAGUUCUCAACCAAACAUACAUUCUCAAUUAGAGUUGAGGAAACUUUACCAACAUUUCCAAUUCCAUGAAUUUUUCCUUUUGAGUUGUCUCCAAAAGAUACGUCUCCACCAUUUUCAAUUUUGGUGAAGCUUGAGAAUCAUGCAUAGUUUCCGGUCAUGUGCCUUGAACAACCACUGUCCAAGUACCAUUUAUUUUACAGUGGGGACCACGGCAAGGUGGAUAAGGGCAAUCUCUUCGGUAUCCCGGCUUGGAGGGUGAUGACUGGGACUUGGGGCUUGGCAUCUGAGUGGCCUUGUCAACUUUGGAGGGUUGGGAUGAUGAUCCUGGUUCAUACAUGGUUGGUUGUGGAAACUGUUAGAGAUGUUGGCUUAGAGGAAGGAAUUCUUCCCAUGGGUCUUGGGAGUCUUGGUAAAGGAAGUCAGUGUGGUCUGGUUUUCCUUCUUUGAUGAUGAUUCUUGUGGACUUUGGUUUGGAUAUGGCGGAUGGAGUGGGGAUCAUGAUGAGGUCAUGUUGUGGUCCUAAGGAGGUGUGAAAGAUAUCCCAGUGUGGUGGAGUUUGGUGGUUCAAUUAACAAAGAUAGUUGUGCAGGUUGGAUUGGAUUUCAUUGUCAAUGACAGCUGGGUGAGGUGCGAUAAACCAUUCAUAUACCUGGUCUUGAGUCCAAAAGAGAUUUGUGUUUGGAUGUUGGAAGUAUGGCCUGUGAAUGAUAAAUACUGAUGUAAAAAAUUAUGCUUCAGAGGCAGGCAUACGUUCAAGAUUGUAAAUCUCUGACAGUUGUUGUAGCUUCUUUCUCCACCAUGGUAUUGGGGAGAACCAUUCAAGUAAUGUCCAGGUAAGAGAGGUGGCUUUGUCUGGAUUAAGGAGAUUGUUCAAAGUGGGAGUGAUUGGUAGGACGAGCUUGGUUGCAUAAAGAACAGUUAGGCACCAGACGUACCAUAACUCAUCUUCAGUGAUUUCGCUGGACGGAGCAAGGGUUAAACCUGUAAGGAACAGAUUUUCUGGGUGGAAGGUGGAAAAUGGAAAUGAGUCUGCCAAAAGGUAGGCUUUCAUGAAGAAGCAGAAAACAGCUUUCCUUGCAAACUCUUGGAUAGCAAAGAUAGAAGAGAAAGUUUUGUUAAGGGGAAAAGUUUUCUUGGUGAGAGCUUCUGGUGGAAGUGAUGUGGCCAUGGAGAUGAUCGGAAAUUGGUAUGUUGUGGAAAUCAAGGUUAGAGGGUUUUCUGGUUUUGAGAGUCUGGAUAGCAUAUCAGGGAUGAGGUUCUGGGGCCCCUUUAUAUUCUUAACCGAAAAAUCAUAUUUGGAAAACCAAUCUUUUAAUCGUAGUAACAUCUUUUCUGGGACAGCUUUACCUUUGAAAUUGAGAAUAUUGGGGAAGGCUGAAUUGUCCAAUCGGAUGAGAAAAUGAUGUCCAAUAAGAUGAUACUCAAAUUUUUUGAUGCCAUGCUUUACCGCUAAGAUUUCUUUGAAUAUGCUAUGGUAAUGCUUCUGUGUGUCAGAAAUUUGUCCGCUAGCGUAAGCGAUAAAGUAUUCUUUGCUGUUGAGUUCUUCGAGGAGGAUGGCACCCCAUGAUUCAUCACUUGCGUCUGUUUGCAGUAUGCACUUUCCAUCAGUAAUUAACUUUAAGGGAGGUGGAUUUUGCGCAAUUUGCUUGAGGGUAGUGACAGCAGUUGUGUGGUCAGCAUUCUACUCUGGGGGCUUCUUUUUCAAUAAAGCCGAGAGGUGGUGAGUAUAGCGGUCCACAUGCGAGAUGAAGUCUCUGAUGUAAUUGAUAAUGCCGAGAAACUGUUGAACUUGCUUUUUGGAAAGUUGCUGAUCUGGAAGGUAAAGUAACUCUUGGGCAAUGUGCUUUCGAGGCUGAUAAUGGCCGUCCUUUAUGAUCAUACCAAGGAAUUCCAUGUUAUUCGUGGGAUGGUGCUUUUCUUGGCAGAUAGCAUGAUUCCAUGACUUUUGACAAUAUCAUAGAAUUGAGUUAACAGCUGGUGAUGUGCAUCAUGUGAUCCUGAAAAAAGUAAGAUAUCAUCAAUGUAAAUUAAUGCAUGAUGCAGGAUAGGGUGAAAGAUUUUGACCAUGGAUUUUUGAAAAAUGGAUGGGGCAGUUUUGAGGCCGAAGGGAAGGACUGUCCAUUGAUAAUGGGCAUUUGGGAUACAAAAGGCAGUUUUGUAAUGCUCCGAGGGUUCAAUGCCUAAUUGCCAAAAAUCUAAUUUUAAAUCAAAUUUGGAAAAGAUCUGGGCAUUUUUUAGAAAAGUAAACAUGCUUUGUCGUCGGGGCAAAGGAAAUUUGUCAUCUUGCAAAAACAUAUUUAGUGGCUGAUAGUCAAUGACUAAGCGUUUCUUUCCUCAGACAAUUUCAGAAUGCUUUUCAACAUAAAAGGCUUGGCAAGCCCAUUGAGAACUUGUGGGCUCGAUUAGACCUUGGGCUAACAGUUGUGAACAUUCUUUUUGGGCUAGGAGUAAGUUAGAAGGACUCAUUCCUGGAUGAGUAGCUUUGGUCGGGUUAAUGUCUUCAUUGAGUUUGAAAGGUAACUUAAUAAAGAAAGACGGGUUUUUCCAUAAUGGAGUUGGAUGGGUGAACUCAUAAUGGGACUCUGGAUAGAAACGCAAAAGAUGGGAUGAAAUAUCCUGGUAGGACUGGGGAGUAUCAGACAAAUUGUAGAGUUUCAGAAUGUCUGUGAAUGGUUUGAACAUGGACUUGACUCGGAUUCCAGUGGGAAUGAUUUGGAGGUGUGUGAUUUGGUGAAGUAUGUCAAAUCUUAACAAGAUAUCCUUAUUAGGAAGGGUUGAACCGAUAACCUUGGUCCAAAUGACACAAUUUGGGAAGAUUUGAAUACCAAUGGGUUUGUUGGUAAUCAAAGAGGUAGUGAAAAAUUUACCAUUAACGGCCUUGAAAGUUUCUUUGUACUUUGUCCAGUAUUUAGGUGGAAGGAUAUUGGGGUUUAACAUGCUGCGUUGGGCACCAGUAUCUAUAAGGCCAAUUGCUGGAAUGGGCCUUUGGAAUUUUGAGGGCAAGAUAUGGAGUUUGAUGGAGGGUAUAGGAACAGUAGUGUCAAGGGACAAUAAUUCUUGGUGGAAGAUAACUUGAGACACAUCACUGUCGGAAUCAUCAGAGGAAUUUUGUAAUGCGAACACGGUUUCAUCAUUGGGUUCAUCUUGCUCAGAGAAAUAGAAUUCCAGUUCAUCUGUCGCGGGAGAGUAGUCUGUAGUGGCUUGAAGAUGUUCGACUAGUUGGAUGGAUUUCUCUCGUUUGUUGGGACAAUCUUUAGCAUAAUGACCUUUCCUCUUAUAGAUGAAACAUCUGCUUGAUGAUUUUCAUUUGAAUUCUCUAGAGGAAGAUGAUUUUUUUCUGAAGAAUCGGUAGGGCUUUCUGGACCUGCGGGGUUUGGAUGAAACUUCUGGAUUUUUGAAUUUUCGAAAAUGCCUUUUCUUCUUAGAACUACAAUCACAAUCCUUUUUUUUAUAUAUUUGAUCUGCAAAUAGGGCUUUUUUGCAGGCACUCUUGAAUGGUUCGUUAUCUCUUAACAAUUCUUUGAAAAACUGUUUCUGCUCGCAAAGUUUAUCAAGGCAUGUUUUGGCAAUCUAGAAGAUUUUGCCAAGAGAGAGGUUGUCAAGGAUGAGAUUGGAGGCGGUGGGUUGCCGUUGUAUAUCGAGUUGGAGCUCGUCUGGAAGGGAAGCCAGAAAGACAUGCUUUAAUGUUGGCUCAUUGAAGCCAUUAAGCUUAUAGAACAGCAAGGACAUUCGUUUUUAAUGAAAGUCAAGAUCCUUAGCAUUAAGUGAGCAGCAUUUCAUGUUGAGAUAGUCUCGUCGUGCAGCUUCAAAAACUGCAGAGGGGUCUCCAAGGAAUUGGUCAUGAAUAACCGCAAGGGCACUUGAGACUUCUGGUAAUUGAACAAACUGUAAUUGUCUGUAUUGGCCUAAAGAAUCAAACCAAUCUCUUAGAGCACCUGUAAAACGAGUAGUAAAUUCUCUAAAGACUGAUUGAGUCGUUGCUCCAGGCCUUAGCAUUUGGAGGUCAAUCCAAGCAGACAUUUCAGUAAGUCUCUCUCUUCAUUUAUGAGAUGGAAGAUCAUUAAAUGUGAACCAUGGACCAUUUGAUGAUUUUUGACUUGUUGGACCGGUUUGGGCUUAGGCUGGAGGGGGUUGGUAUGUAGCAGAGAAUUCAGGCAUGUCGUCGUCAACUUCUGAAGGAAUAUCAACAUAUGGUUCUAUGUGAGAGGUUUGGCCAUGAUCAAGUGGAUCAGGUUGGGCCAUCAAGAUUCUGGUGAUAUCAGCAUAGGACUUUUCAGAGUCACUAGUGGAUACUGAAGAUGCUGUGUCAGACUCAGUAUGGCUGUUGGAAAUGGCUAGAUUUGAAUCAGAAGUUGGAGCAGAAGUUUGAUCAUCAGGAGUAGAUGAUGGAUCUAUGGUGUGGGCACUAUACUGGUGCAUGGGUUCUUUGUCUUUGGACUGAGGCUGAGGUUGGGAUUGAGGUGGUAGUGGAGGUGCGGGCGGUGGGGACUGUUGUCUAAGAAUGGACAUGGAUGGCUGAUGAAUUUUGACGGGGCGUGGUUGAGGUUUAGGUGGUGGUGGUAAGGGAUUGUCUCUGAAAAGAGUACGAGUCAUGCCAAAUAACUUGGAAGGGUCAUACUAUUUGAUGAGGGAAAGCAUAGAGGCAAAUGGAUGAUAAGUUGGACCUAUGGAAGGGAUAGGAGGCGAUGUGGUAAAAAGGGUAGGUCUUUGUUUUUUAGAUUCAAUCUGAUCAAGCUCAGCUUUUAAGCGUCUGAUUUCCCUUUCUUUUUGGUCAAAUUCUGGGCCAUAGUAUCUUUGAGCAAGCAUGGUUCGUAACUCUGAAUCUAGUUGAGUAAUUCUGGAUUGAAGAUUGCGGUGGAUCUACUGCAUCUGUGCAGUAAUGGAGUCAACUUUCGUCUCAAUCUGUUCAGUUCGUAAACUGAUGUUCUCAACUUUUGAAUUGAUUUGCAACAAAGUAUCAUUCUGUGCUCUGGCAUUUUGGGUUUGCCAGUUAAGGACGGAUUCAAAAGGUUUGGGAGACUCUAGGUGGCCAGUUGAGGUAAUAGCUGAAGGGAUAAAAGGUUUGGAUACCACAUUUCGUUGGGAAUCUGUGUGAGUUUCUAAUGGAGGAAAGGAGGAAGAGUAGUCUGAAGAGGGAGAAGAAACAUCAUACAAGCUAGGGAUUGUACGAUAGGUGUGGAGUUUGGGAUGGGGGACGGAAUCUCAGGUUUGCAAUGCUUUGCAAUCCAUUUGAGUUCUAUGUUGUAGAUGGGUAACGGAGCUAGUGGAGGUGGAGGAUCUCUUGGGGAUUUGGGUUCACAAUGUUGACAUGAGACUGGAGGCUUUUUCUUUUUGGGUCUCUUUUUGGUGGCAUAAUCAUCGUUCUCUUCCUAAUCAUCCCAGCAGGGACAAUUUGGGUCACACAUGCCGGAGCCUGGGACAUCCCAUAGGAAAUGUCUAUUUUGCUUUGCUGGAUAAACAGGGUAUCCGUUAGAAUUAAACCCUGUAAUGGACAGAUCUUCCUGAGCUAUCUGAAUAGCUGUGAUCAUUGAAGAAUAGGUAAAGGAGAGCCAAGGGGGCUCUUGUGGAGCACUUGGAGGUGGUUUAAAAGUCAUUCAGAAUGUUCCAUCUUGUCGUCUUUCAAACAUGCUUUCAAAAGUUUGAAUUGGGGCUGUAUUGGUAUGGAACUACUCAUAAUUGGAGAUCCAUUCAAGAGGCAUAAGCUUGAUAAGCUCAUGAUGGGGAAGUUGUCGUGGGAUCUGGAUGAUUGUGGGAAUUUGGUCAGAUUCUGCUAACACCAUGAGGGUGUCAGAGUGGUGUUCUGGAGUGGGUAGAUCUAAGGCAUGAUUUUGAAGCCUAUAAAUGUUUUUCAGCAUUGCAUGAUAAUAGUUGGUUAUGGCAUAGAAGGUUAGGACAUGCAAGUAUGGAUUUGAUUUCGAAAAUUUUGAAAAAUGAUUUAGUUAAAGGUCAAUUUGGAAAACAAUCAAAACAUCUUUCAAAAAUAAAAAUCAUAUUUUUACUUCAAAACCACUUCAACUUCUUCACAUAGAUUUAUUUGAGCCUUCUAGAUAUGCUAGUCUAAAUGACAAAUGUUAUACAUUUGUGAUAGUGGAUGAUUAUUCUAGAUUUACAUGGGUAUUAUUCUUAGCCAAUAAGGAUGAUGCUCUUGAUGCCUUUAAAGUGCUUUGUAAGAAAAUACAAAAUGAAAAAGGGUAUGGUAUUGCAUGCAUUAGGAGUGAUCAUGGAGGAGAGUUUGAAAAUCAUGCAUUUGAGAUUUUUUGUAAUGAUUUUGGCAUUGAGCAUCAAUUUUCAUCACCUAGAACUCCACAACAAAAUGGAGUUGUUGAGAGAAAGAAUAGAUCCAUUCAAGAAAUGGCUAGGACUAUGUUGAAUGAAAAUUCAUUGUCUAAGUAUUUUUGGGCCGAGGCCAUCAACACCGCUUGUUAUGUUUUAAAUCGUGUGUUGAUUAGACCUAACCUUAACAAAACUCCAUAUGAGCUUUGGAAACUUAGAAAACCCAAUAUUGGUUAUUUCAAAGUUUUUGGAUGCAAAUGUUUUAUUUUGAACACAAAAGAUAAUCUUGGCAAAUUUCAUCCAAAAUCCGAUGUUGGUAUUUUUCUUGGAUAUUCAAACUCAAGCAAAGUUUAUAGAGUUUAUAACAAAAGAACUCUAGUUGUAGAAGAAUCUAUGCAUGUUACAUUUGAUGAGUCUAACCCCUCUUUUGCGGAGAAAGGAAUUAUUUAUGAUGAUGCAGAUGGAGAAUUACAAGAAGAAUCAUCAAAGAAUAAACAAGAAAAUGCACCACAAAGAAAUCAAGAGGAUGGACAAGAAGAACAAACAAAUAUGGAGCAACAUGAAGGUACUUCUCAAGCACUCCCCAAGGAGUGGAGGUAUGUUUCUUCUCAUCCUAAGGAUGUAAUUUUAGGAGAUCCCUCACGAGGUGUUACAACUAGAUCAUCACUUAAGAAUACUUGUGAGCAUAAUGCAUUUAUUUCUCAAAUUGAACCCAAAUCCUUUGCGGAUGCGGAAAAUGAUGAAUCUUGGAUUAUGGCAAUGCAAGAGGAGUUAAAUCAAUUUGAAAGAAACAAUGUGUGGGAAUUAGUUCCUAAACCGGAACAUCAAUCCGUCAUAGGUACUAAAUGGGUAUUUAGAAAUAAGAUGGAUGAAUCCGGUGUGGUUGUAAGAAAUAAAGCUAGAUUAGUGGCUCAAUGUUACAACCAAGAAGAAGGAAUUGAUUUUGAUGAAACUUUUGCACCUGUAGCUAGACUAGAAUCAAUUAGAAUGCUGUUGGCAUUUGGUUGUCAUAAAGAUUUCAUUUUAUUUCAAAUCGAUGUGAAAAGUGCUUUCUUAAAUGGUUAUAUUAUGGAAGAAGUAUAUGUAAAACAACCUCCUGGUUUUGAAAAUGAAAAAUUUCCAAAUCAUGUUUAUAAGUUGUUUAAAGCUUUAUAUGGAUUAAAACAAGCACCUAGAGCAUGGUAUGAUAGGCUUAAAAAUUUCUUAUUAGAAAAUGAUUUUUCCAUGGGUAAAGUGGAUACUACUCUCUUUGUUAAGCAUAAGAACCAAGAUAUACUUAUUGUUCAAAUUUAUGUUGAUGAUAUUAUUUUUUGUUCUACUAAUGAGUUGUUGUGUAAAGAAUUUUCAUCGUGUAUAAGCAAAGAAUUUGAGAUGAGUAUGAUGGGAGAGUUGGAGUACUUCCUUGGACUCCAAAUCAAACAAAACGAGGAAGGAAUUUUCAUAAAUCAAGCCAAGUACAUAAGAGAUCUACUCAAACGAUUUGGCAUUGAUGACUCAAAGACCAAAAAUACACCAAUGAGCACAACAACCAAGCUCGUCAAAGAUGAAAAAGGCAAAGAAGUGGACAUCAAAAUGUAUCGAGGUAUGAUUGGAUGUUUACUUUAUUUGACUGCAAGUAGACCCGAUAUCAUGUUUAGUGUAUGUUUGUGUGCAAGAUUUCAAUCAUGUCCCAAGGAAUCCCAUUUGCUUACUGUUAAAAGAAUUUUCCGUUAUUUGAAUGGAACCAUAGAUAUUGGCUUUUGGUAUCCUAGAGGAACUCAUAUAGAUUUAACAUGCUAUUCGGAUGCGGACUUUGCUGGUUAUAAAGUUGAUAGGAAAAGCACUAGUGGAACUCGCCAUAUCCUAGGUCACUCACUUGUUUCAUGGUUUAGUAAGAAACAAAAUUCUGUUGCACUCUCAACUACCGAGGCUGAAUAUAUAGCUGCAGGAAGCUAUUGUGCACAAGCUCUUUAGAUGAAACAAACACUUAGAGACUAUGGUAUUAACCUAGAACAAAUUCCUAUUAAGUGUGAUAAUACUAGUGCUAUAAAAUUUUCAAAGAAUCCCAUUCAACACUCCCGAACUAAGCAUAUAGAAAUAAGACAUCAUUUCUUAAGAGAUCAUGUUCAAACAAGAGAUAUUGCAUUGGAGUUUAUUUCUAUGGAAAAACAACUUGCCGAUAUUUUUACAAAACCACUUUGCGAAGAACAAUUUUCAAAAAUUCGGCAUGAACUUGGGAUGAUGAAAUUUUUGCAUUAACAUCUUGAUUCAUGUUAUUGAGUCUAUUAAAAUUGAUUGAUUUAUGAUUUGAUGUUUUAAUAUCAAUGGAAUGCUCAAUAUACAUGUGAAGUGUGUGUAUUUUUUUUUUUUUUGAAAAAUGUAUGAAUAAAUUGUUGAAAUAUAUACAUGUUCAUGAAUUAUGCAUUGAAUUGGCACUUAAAUCAUUUUGGAUCAAUGAAAUGAUCUUGAAAUAUAUUAAUUGUUGGCCAAAUACUAAAAUAAAUGUGCGAAAUCAUACGUUGUAGAAAACAAAUUGCCGUUAUUUCAAUAAACGACUAACCGUUUUAGGGCAGAAACAAUGGGGAAUUCUCUGGACUCUGUCGGCUCGCCGUCCUGAUGAAAAAUUUUGGGGAGCUCUCUAGACGCUGUCGGCUCGCCGAUAUCUCUAUAACUGCUCGCCGUUAUCGUGCGAUAAGUGAACAGUCCUUUGUCUUCUUCUUUAUUUCGUUCUUGCUCUCUCUCUCUCUCUCAAACCUGCGACUAACACUUCGUCUCUCUCUCAAAUCCACCAUUUUUCUUGCUCUCUCUCAUCAAAUUAAACCAUUUGAAACCUUUCUCAUCUUGUUUUGAACCUUUUUAACUGAUCAAAACUCAUUUUUGAUUUAAAAUUUGAGAAAUCCCAAGUUUCAAACCCUAGAACCAGCCACACUUCUCUUGCCAAAAUUGAGCCAAAUUUCUUCCAAUUUCAAUCACAUUUCAACUUGACAUUACUCUCUCAUCACUCAAACUUUAUUUCUCCCAAUUCAAAUUUCUCCAAACUCAUCAAUGGCAGAACGAUCACAGAGGCGUGCUCGAACCAAGCACACUGCUCCGGGUCGUUCCAGUCCCUCCAGGCCUCCCUUUCAGGACUUUGAGGGCCUCCAUUUUUCAAAUAACACCUCUGCUCAGUGAUUUCGUGACAAAUUCAUGGGCAAACCAGUAACUCCCUCAUUUUCUCUUAACAUUACGGAGUUUUUAGAUAUUACCAUUUGUGGUCGUACUAUUACUCAAUUGCUUAGCCAUUGGAAUGAAGCCUUAAGUAUAGAAGAGCCCAUCCAUGAAAAUCUAGUCCGUGUCUUUUAUUCUAAUAUGGAACUCUCCUCUUCCCGUUGAGUUGAACUUUAUACUUAUGUAAGAGGAAUUCGUAUUGCGUUUGAUGAGACAGAAUUAUGUAGUAUUCUUGGAAUUUCUUAUGGAGGCUUAGACAUUUACACCGCUAGGAAAGAACUUGAAUUUAGUGAUUUAUGUCCUAUGGAUGGUGUACGGAACAUUUGUAGACGUUGGGAUCUUUCCGAUGACGUAUGUUAAAUGACGUAUGUUAAAGGAUCUUUGUCCUUUAGGUCUCAACUCCUCCCUUUCCAGGUUCGAAUACUUCAUAUCAUUCUCCAACAAAUGGUCACCCCUAGACAGGGUCACAUUGAUGAGGUAACUCGACUUGAUGUUGGUUUAUUAGAUUCGUAGACGACAUGUGAGUUUCUCCUACACUAUCCUUUGUCAUAUGAUGUCCACACCCAGAGUCUCCAACCGAUCCCUUCCAUAUGGCAGCAUCAUUACUAGGAUCUUGAAAUUCUUUAGAGUACCUAUCACUGAGCCUGUUUAUCUCGAGACCCGUAAGCUCGGUCGAGAGAUUAUUUCUGCGAUCGGAUUUUUUAAGAAGUGUGGGAAGUGGGAAAAGACAACAUCCUCUAAGAAUGAAGAUACUAUGCUUGCACCAGUGGAUGAUCGUAUGUUAAAUGACGUCUAUUCUGAGGAUGAGUUACCCGAUUUCCGCCUUGGGGCUAGACCACGGGUCCCUCGCAGAGCAGCAGCAGCAUCAGCAGUAGCAUCAGCAGCAGUACCAGCAGCAGCAUCAGUACCAGCAGCUUCCUCUCCGGAUGACGAGCCAGCCGUCCCUCCUGCAGCAUCGACCGUUCCUGCGGAUUGUUUUUAGCAACUUUUUGACAAAGUGGAUGUCCUGUCCCAGUGCAGCAGCAGCUUCAAUCUGACUUUGCGACCUUUCAGCAGCAAAUGUUAGAUCAGCAAAUGGAGUUAAUUGCUGGCCAGCACCAUAUUCUUGGUUAUUUUGGUUAUGACCUAGGCAAUUCUUCUUCACAGCGCCCGUCUUAGUUUUUCUGCCCCUUUGUUUUUCGCACAAACAUUACUCAUUUCACGUAGUUUGUUGUGACGUUUAUCUUUGGUUAUGUUUUUGAUUCUUUUAUGAUUUUUUUAUUGGAUAUAUGGUCUUUAUUUAUGCUUGAUGAUAUCUUGAUUAUAUUGAUGAUAUGUUUGACUAUUGGAAUGGAGGUUGGUUGAUAAGUUGAACUAUAUAUAUGGGAGUGUUUUAACUAUUUUUUUGUUGAGGAUAUGUUCCUUUUUAAGGGGAGACUCUGCCGAAAUUUUUUUUCAACAUGGGUAAUCUCUAAACCUCUCUUUUUACUCUUUUCAUGCUCAUUUCUUUUUUAUGAUGAAGGGGGAGAUAAUUUAUCAAUUCAAUCUGUUCUGUUUAAAUUUUUUUUAUGAGAUUAAAAAUAAAUGGACACAUAUUUAAGGAAAGUUAAACUUUCUUAAAUAUUUCACUUAGGGGGAGCACAUAUUUAGGGUAGCAAACAUGGCGUAACAUCACUUAAGACCAAAGAUAAUACAAAUACUAAAAUUUGAAAGUCAUCAUGUCAUCCAAUGUUAAAAAAUCACACAAUUUUUUUAAAAAAACGAAAGUCUACCCCCCAACCUAUUCUAAACAUGAAAAGAAAAUAUGCAUGUAGAAAGGUGAAAAUGAUGCAGAAAAACUAAUUAGAAAAGUUACACUUAAAAAGAUAGAAAAAGAAAAUGGUUUUUUUUUAACUAAGAAGAUGCGUUUCUAGAGCCACUACACUCUAUAUUCAGCCAUCUUUGACUCAAAUAAUUUGAAAGUGUAUAUUUAUAAAGGAGAAAUUAGAAAGAAGAAGAAAAAUGAUUGUAAAAACUUAAUAAAGAGAAAGAAAAUAUCUGAAUUUUUUUGUUUUUUUUUUAAACGAAGAAGAUGCGUUUCUUGAGUAACUACACUCCAUAUUCAGCCAUCUUCAACACAAAAAGUUAGCCACAGUUAGUCUCUACAACAAAAAAGUAGUAAAAACUUAACCAAGAUUGCACAAUUGUCGACUAUUGCCUCCCCCCAACCAGAACGAAACAUUGUCCUCAAUGUUUUAAAGGAAAAAAGUAGAGUUUAGAAGACAUCACCUGGGUGGUGCAACAUAGAAGAAAAUAUUUACAAGCGAAGAGUUAAAUCUAAUUUGUACUUCUUAUUGCGGCUACUGUUACCAUCAUUAUUUGGAUGCUCCAACACAAAGGUCCAGGGAUCUGGCUCCGGUUUAUAAUAGAUCAAGUAGCUUAUUAGCAGUGUGAGCACAAAUAAAAAGCUUUUUCGCUGUGGAAGGAAUUAAAUAGUUUUUUAUUGCAUGGUUAAAAAAUGCGAUAAAGCCAUCAUAAAAGUUAUUGACAUUUAACAAAACAAUGGGUUUAUGGUGAAUGUACAGAUGGGCCCAAGAUGCUAAUGUGAUAAGUGCCUCUAGAGUUGUAAGAUCUCCUGAUAGAAAAAUAAAAGCAUCAUCAUGAUUAAGCAUUUUAGUUAUUCUUUCUUGCAUACCUGAGACGACUAACUCUUCUCCAGUCGAUGAGUCAGACAAACUGCCCAACGGUUUUAGGGCUCUUGGGAUGAUGCCUAACACUUGACUUCCUCUGACAAAAGCAGCUUCUGAGACUAAUUUUGAUAACCCUCGGUUACCUCCUCCAUACACCAAGUGUAAUUUUCUAUCUGCUGUGCUUCGACCAAGAUCUAUGGCUGCCUCAACGAACUCUUUAUGUUUGCCAGAGUUAAAUCCAGAAAGCACACAAAUGUUCUUGAAUUGUCUAUUGGGAGUAGCUGUCGUUGGGAUACUUGUCAAAAACAAUUUUUGAGUGCUUAACAAAAAGUCAUAUUUAAGAAUCUUAGUGACCGUGGGUCACAACUGUGUAUGAGGUUGCAUGUCAGUGUCAAAUAACGCGUAAAGCACAUGGCUCGCGAGUCAAAAAGGAAACAAUAAAAAGAAAAGGAAACAAUGAUAAAAUAAAAUUAUUAAAGACAGUAAUGCAAAUGAUAAAACAACUGUGAAAUAAAAUAACAGUGAAGUAAAAGGAUAUUUACAGGUAGUUGCUACUGUGGAUCACAUCUUCCUCUGGUUUACGUCCAUAAACGGCUUGAAAGCCCUUUAUGGGUCGUUUAUAGUCAGAGUCCCGAGACUAUAUCGUGCAUACUCUUUCUGGAAUAAUGGCCAUAACUGGAGAAUCGCUCCUUGCACAUAUCCACUGGGAUGUGUUUCAAGAGACAAAAUGAUAUCAUACAAUGACUCCUUAUUCAAGCCAUCCCUAAUGAAUUGAAUCUUAUCUUCCCUGUUAUCAGACACCAUUCCUAAAGAACAUGGUUUUUUAUCGCAACUCAUUUUGGCACACUUAUGACAAGCAACAGAAAUUUUUCGAGCUCUUCAUUUUCUUGCAUAAUUUCCUUUACCACAACCAGGCAUGUAUGCAAUAAAUUUUAGAGGUAACUCACCUACCAAUCGUACUUUAGCCUCGAUUAACCAAGGGAUGUCAGUAGGUAUGUUAUUCCUCAUGAGCAAUCGCAUGCAUUCGGACUGAGCUUUAUGGAUUGUAAGGAGGGCAUUCUGAGGAAGUGAAGGGAAUCGAUUGUGAAGCUUUGCUAGAAUCUCAUUUUUGUCUAUACCUUCGCCUCAGAAGAUCAAUUAUUAUGGGAAAUUGAAGUAACCGACUUGAUUGUCACGGAGUACCGUUAUCUGCCACUUCACCGGGGUAACAAACUAAAGCACACAAACAAAUAAAAACAAACUAAAUCACAUAAAGAAAAUUACAAUCGUCCUCUUAUUGAAUUUACCUUAAGCUCCAACUGGAUGUUGUAGACACCUCUCUCAAUGUCUCUGAGUUGGCUUUCUAAAUUCUCAACAUGGGAUACUAACUCUGGUGGUUGCAGAGCCCAAAUACGAUGUGUUUUACAAAAUCGAAUCUACCUUUUGAGAUGAGAUUUUACAAGUUGAAGUGGUCUAAGAAUGUCCAGGAGGAACUGUUUAGCUAUGGCACUCAUGAUUAACAAUGAUAAGAGAAAACUUAAUGGUUAAACAAACACACUUAUGCAAAAAUAAUUUCCAUUAGCCAAAGAAUAGUAAAAAGAGAAAAAAAUCAAAUCACUGAAAAGAAAGAAAAAAGAAACUCAAUUCAAAUCUGGUGGGUCACUCAAAUUUAUUUUGGUGUCCUCUCCAUGUGGUUGGUACUCUAGAUAUGGCUUUAAUCUUUGACUAUUAACUUUAAACGUGACACCGUUCUUUGGGUCCUUAAUUUCAAUUGCCCCAUGUAGAAAACUAGUGUGAACAAUAAAGGGGCCAGACCAUCGAGAGUGUAACUUACCUGGGAAUAGGUGCAAGCGAGAAUUAAAUAAAAGCACCUUCUGACCUGGAGUGAAAGAUUUUCUCAUAAUUUGCUUGUCAUGAAAGACCUUCAUUCGUUGCUUGUAAAUUUUGGCAUUCUCGUAUGCAUCAUUGUGAAUUUCUGUAAGUUCUGCCAGCUGUAAUCUUCUUUCUGAGCUAGCUUGCUGCAUGUCAAAGUUUAAUUUCUUGAUGGCCUAGUACGCACGAGGCUCGAGUUCCACAGGUAGGUGGCAAGCUUUUCCAUACACUAGCUUGUAAGGUGACAUCCCAAUCGGGGUCUUAAAAGUCGUUCUAUAUGCCCAUAAUGCAUCAUCGAGUCUUAAUGACCAAUCUUUUCUGUCCGGCCUCACCGUCUUUUCUAAUAUGUGCUUUAUUUCUUGAUUGGAGAUCUCAACUUGGCUACUGGUUUGCGAAUAAUAUGGGGUCGCCAGUUUAUGAGUGAUGGAAUACUUUGUCAAAAGAGCUUUGACUGCUUUGUUACAAAAGUGGGUACCACCAUCACUGAUUAUUGCUCGAGGGAAUCCAAAGCGUGAAACAAUGUUGCUUUUCAAAAAUGCUAUCACCACCUUGUGAUCAUUGGUUCUACAUGGAAUUGCUUCUACCCAUUUCGAUACGUAGUCAGCAACAACCAAUAUGUAUUGAUGGCCAAAAGAUUUAGUGGCAUCAUAUUCCUUCGCGAAAUGCUCCCUAUUCGUUGACACCUAUCACAUGAAGAACAGAAAGUGUAAGCAUCUUGAAAUAUAGUUGGCCAAUAGAAACCACAUUGUAAAACUUUAGUAGUUGUUUUCUUAACACUGAAAUGGCCUCCACAAGCUUGUUCAUGGCAGAAUGAAAUGAUAUUAUGAAUUUCACUUUCUGGGACACAUCGUUUAAUAAUUUGAUCUGCACAAUACUUAAACAAAUAAGGGUCAUCCUAAAAGAAAUUCUUUAUUUUCGCAAAAAUUUAGCUUUGUCGUGCUUGAUCCAAUGCUCUGGAAGUUGACCUGUAACAAGAUAAUUAACGAUGUCAGCAUACCAUGGUAAUACUUCCACACUCAUUAAUUGUUCGUCUAGAAAAGACUCAUUCAAUGUUAACGGUUUUGUAAUUGUGUCAAAAUGGAGACGAGAGAGAUGGUCAGCCACGACAUUUCUGUGCCUUUCUUAUCUUUAAAUUCCAAGUCAAAUUCCUGCAAAAGUAACACCCAACGAAUUAGCCUAGCUUUUGCAUCUUUCUUUGUGAGAAGAUAUUUAAGAACAGCAUGAUCCGUGAACACAUUUAUUUUGCAACCAAUGAGAUAAGAUCGAAAUUUCUCUAAUGUAAACACUACUGCUAGCCUUUCUUUUUCAGUAGUUGAAUAGUUCAACUGUGCAUCAUUCAAUGUCAUACUAGCAUAGUAGAUAACAUUGGGAAUUCGAUCAACUCUUUGUCCUAAUACUGCUCCUACUGCAUAAUCAGAUGCAUCACACAUGAGCUCAAAUGGUAAGCUCUAGUUUGGGGGCUGAAUGAUGGGUGAUGUUGUCAACAACUACUUUAAUUUUUCAAAUGCCACAAGACAUGAAUCAUCAAAGACAAAAGGUACAUCCUUAGCAAGUAGAUUACAUAAGGGUCUAGAAACUUUGCUAAAAUCUUUAAUGAAACGUCUAUAAAAACCAGCAUGUCCAAGGAAAGAUCUUACUUCUCUGACUGUUUUAGGUGGAGGAAGAUUAGAAAUGAGAUCCACCUUGGCUUUGUCAACCUCAAUACUUUUGCUCGAAAUGAUGUGACCGAGAAAAAUACCUUGUUUUACCAUAAAAUGGCACUUCUCCCAAUUUAAGACUAAGUUGAUACGAAUCCCACAAUGAAACUUUCAAUCCUACACUUAAUUUGUAGUUUCAACUUCCCAAGAAAGUUCUAAACAGAUUUAUGGCAAACAAAAACCUUGACCCAAUGCUUAAGAAAACAUGAACCAAAGGUAUAGAGAAGGGUAUUGACGCCACACUCAAGAAAAAGAUGAGAAGGUGAGUGAUAAGUCUAAAUUUGGAACACCACAAGAAUGUAAAUUCUUGAUAAGUUCACUAGUUCUCAAAAGAACCAAAGAAAGAAUAAUCUUUCAAAUUCAAAAUAACAUUAAUCUCCUUACAUACCAAGGUUGCUGAAUUUAAAUAGGCUAAAAGGAACCCAAGAUCCUAAAAAUACAAAUGGAAACAUUGGAACAACCCUCCAAGUAAGUUUGUCAAAAGAUGUUUCAAAAGUCUUCACCAACCCACCGUGAUCAAUGCUAUCUUUGACAAACUUAAUGCUAGCCUACUAUAAUUAAUGCUAUCAUUGACAAACUUAAUGUUAGCCCACCAUCAUUGAUGGUAGACUUACCUUACACAUUGACAAGCUUGAAACAAAACAAACAAAUAAGUUGAAAAACAAAGGAUUCGUUGAAAAUCCCAAGUCUGAACAAGCUGUAAAGAAUUGGUCAUAACUCCUUCUAGAGAACUCCAAAUCCAGCUCUGUAAAAUUUAUUGGAAAGCUAACUUAAUUAUCUUUCCAACGGUAUAUAGCUUACAUUUUAAUUCUGGCUCAAUCAAUACAGUUUUUAUUCCGAAUUUGACCUUUCUGCAUUUGAUACAACUUGUGUAUUUGGCUGCCCAAUGACUUGAAUAAUGCCCACAAUGCCUUGUCUUCUCUUCAAGCCCAAUUCAUGAUGUCUUGCAUCUUGAAUUGCAUUUUCAAUCCAUAUUUUCUCAAUUAAUCCAUUUAAAGCAGCUUGCAUCUUUUUGGCUCUUGCUCUUGUAAUUGGGCCUCCAUGAAUGUGCAAAGGAUCACUUGAAGUUUUAAUGGUCCCUUGAUGGUUCUCAUCAUAAGUUCUUCUCGAUACACCUCUGUAGAACUAGUGUUAGAUGAUGUAAACAUUGAUCAAAUGAGUCACCAAAGACAGAAAAGUCAUCCAUAAAGUCUUCAAGGAAUUGUUCAACCAUAUCAGAAAAAAUGCUCAACAUGCAUCGUUGAAAUGUAGCAGGUGAAUUACAUAAUCCAAAUGGCAUCCUCUUAUAUGUAAAAGUGGUAAAAGGGCAAGUGAAAGUGGUUUUCUCUUGAUCUUUUGGUGCUAUGGGAAUCUGAUUAUAUCCUGAGUAACCAUCUAGAAAGCAAUAAAAUCUAUGGCCUGCUAAUCUAUCAAGCAUUUGAUCGAUAAAUGGUAAAGGAAAAUGGUCUUUAGGUGUGACAGAAUUCAACUUUCUAUAAUCAAUGCAUACACACCAUCCUGUAGUCACUCUAGUGGGCAUCAAUUCAUUAUCAGCAUUGGUAACUACUGUGACUCCUAACUUUUUGGAGACAACUUGUACAGGACUAACCCAUGAACUAUCAGAAAUGGGGUAAAUGAUACCUGCAUCUAAUAGCUUAAGGACUUCAGUUCUAACAACUUCUUUCAUAUUAGGAUUUAACCGACGUUGCAUUUCCCUAGUAAGUUUAGCAUUUUCAUCAAGGUGAAUGUAAUGCAUAUAGUCUACUGGGUUUAUACCUUUUAUGUCUGCUAUGAUCCAUCCUAAUACUCCUUUGUGCUCUUUUAAAACAUCCAACAACUUACCUUUUUGUUCAUCAUUUAGGGAUGAUGAGAUGAUUAGUGGUAGAGUACUUUCUUCUCCCAAAAACGCAUAUUCCAAAGUGUUAGGUAACGGUUUGAGCUCGAGUUUCGGUGGUGAUUCUGAUGAUGGGAUGAGUUUCUUCUCUGAUGGUGCUAAUUGUUCAACUUUUGACUUCCAUUUAUUAGUGUCCAUGGAUGGUGUUGAGUCAAGUAGAGCGUUGACCUCAUUGACUGAUCUGUCAAUAUCAAAAUCCAAACCAAAGUGAGUUAAACAUGUUUGUAAAGGAUCAUCACUAAGGUUUGAAAGAAAAGUGUCAUCAACUAAUGCUUCAAUUAAAUCCACAUCAACAAUUCCAUCAUCUGCAUUGUGAGGUUGCUUGGCAAUGUUGAAGAUGUUCAGCUCUACAGUCAUAUUGCCAAAGGACAACUGCAUAUUUCCAGUUCUGUAUUGAAUGUGAGCAUCGGCAGUUGCCAACAAAGGUCGACCUAAGAUAAUGGGGAUGUGCUUCCUUAAAUCCUGGAUUGGUUGAGUGUCAAUUACAAUGAAAUCAACAGGAAAAUAAAACUUGUCUACCUGGAUAAGCACGUCCUCCACAAUACCAUGAGAUAUUUUCGUGGAAUGAUCUGCAAGCUGUAACACCACUGGAGUUGGGUGUAAUUCUCCCAGUCUAAGUUUCACAAAUACUGAAUAAGGCAACAAAUUUACACUAGCUCCUAAAUCCAACAAAGCAUUCUCAAUUGUUUGGUUCCCUAUACUACAUGAGAUAGUGGGGGAGCUUGGGUCUUUGUAUUUUAGAGGAAUUUUAUGUUGGAGUAUUAGAACUAAUAUUUUCUAUUAAAAAUGCCUUCUUUUGAACAUGAAUAUUUAUCUUUUUAGUACAAAAAUCUUUAAGAAACUUGGCAUAAGAUGGCACUUGUUUUAUUGCAUCAAGUAAAGGGAUGUUAACACUUACCUGUUUGAAGAUUUCAAGAAUCUCACCUGUGGACUUUCAUUUCUUUCCUUUAGCUAACCUUUGAGGAAAUGGAGCUUUCAGAACGUAUUCUCGUGGGUUGGUUUCUUUUUUCUCCCCCGGUGAUGAGUCUUCAACAUUCACAGGUACAAUUUGAUUUGUUUUUGUCACUGGCAUCUCCGUUUUGUUGUCGAUUUCUUUCCCUUUUCGUAAGGUCAUGACAGCUUUGACCUCUCCAUGCUGUUGUGGUGAACUGGUACUUGCUUCAUGCACUCCUUUAAGAUUAGGCACUGGUUGACUUGGAAAUUUGUCUUUCUCAACAGUCAUUGCCAAAGUUUAAACUGAAGAAGCAAGCUGUCCCACCAUCUUCUCAAGACUUGAAACUGAUUAGGCUUGUGAGUUGAAGCCUGCUCUCAUCUCAUUUCGUAUUUCAUUAAUGGUGCGGUUCUGUUGCUCGAUCGUGGAGUGAGUAAUAUUCUUGAAAUUCUGGAGUGAAUCCUCCCAUGGUCUGGGUUGAAAGUAUUUCUGGUUCUGAUUGAAUGGUCUAAAUGGGGGUUGAGAGGCUUGAGAAAUUUGAGGAAUUGGUUGCAUUGGUGGAGUUGGAGCUGCUGGUCCAUUCUGUUGGAAUCCUUGAGACCAUGAAAAAUUGGGAUAGUCUCUCCAUCCAGGGUUAUAUCCCCUUGACUUCUUUGAUUUUCGAAGUUGGCUCGCCAAUGUGAACCUCAUUUACUCCCUUAAUUCUUUUAGUAUUCCUAAGUGAUCAACUCCGUUGUUUAGAAUUAUCUGCUUGUCGCUGGAAGAAUUCCCAAAUUUUUGAUGCACUUUUUGACAUUAGCUCUCCUCCACUCAUUGCCAUUAGCCAUUCUUGCACAUGUGGUAAUAAUCCCUCCAAAACGUAUUGGCAUUGGUGCCAUUUCUCGUACCCAUGAUGUGGACACUUCAAAAGUAGCCCAUUGAAUCACUACCAUGUUUCGAAAAACUACUCGUCUUCUCUCUGGGUAAACUCUGAGAUUUCCCUGCGAAUAGCAUUGGUUUUAUGCACUGGGAAAUACUUAUUCAAAAAUUUCGUUACCAUUUGUUCUCAUGAUGUAAUGCUAUUAGCAGGCAAUGUAUUAAGUCAUGAACGAGCUCUAUCCUUUAAAGAAAAUGGGAAUAGUCUAAGUUUAACGUCAUCAUCUGAAAAAGUUUCAUAUUUAAAUGUUUGACAAACAGCAUGAAAAUCAUUCAAAUGAUUAUAUAGGUCCUCAUUUUCUAGGCCAUAGAAUGUUGGGAGACAAUUUAGCACACUAAGUUUUAGUUCAAAACUCCUAGCAGCUACAUUUGGGUAUCUUAUGCAUGAUGUGCUCAAAUUAGCUAAAGGACUAAAGUAGUCCUUAAAUGGCCUCUCCUGUAGUGCUUGUUGUUGUUGCAAAUCUAUUUUAUUUUUAAUUUGUUUGUGUGUGCAUAGUAUUUUUUCAAGUUCAAGGUCUAUAGGCUCAAGAUUAGGUAAUAAUGACCUUCGACCAUGCAUGCAAAGAAUACAAAAUAAAUGGGAACAAAACAAAUAAAAAUAAAGAAGAAGGAGAAAUUACGGUACUAACCUUAUUACGCUGUUACAAUCUUUCUAUAAAAACACAUAAAAAAAAUACAUGAAAUAAAUUAACCAAAAAAUUACAAAGAAAAAUAACUUGAAAAUUAAAUUACAAAACUUUAAAGAAGAGAAAAAGAAAAGAAAUUCUUACCUCUAAAUGCAUAUUCACUUUUUUUUCUUUUUAUAAAAAAAAAUUACAAGAAAACAAUUUAAAGAAAUUAUUUGCAAAAAUUAAUUCUACAAAUUAAAAUAACUUACCUCCCCGGCAACGGCGCCAAAAACUUGUCGUGCAAAUUUUAUUGAACUUGCAAGUGCACGAAUCUAUUGUAGAAUAGAUCAAUGGUGACGAGUGUCGAUCCCACGAGGAAGUUGAUUCUAAUUGUGUGUAGAAUUAAUUUUUCUAAAUGGAUGUUUGGAUUUGUGGUGAAAGUGAUUUAGACUAUCUUAGAAUUUAAAUUGGAAUGACAGAAUUAAAGUGGAAACUAUUAUAAUUGAAGCGCUUGGGUAUCUGGAUCCGUAUCAACAUGCACCAUGGGCUAAAUAUUCUGUAUUAGUGCCAAUUAAAUCAUGAGCGGGGAAUCCACACCUCAUGAACCACACUCUAAUCAAUAUGGUGCUAAAGGCUUAUCGUGCCAAAUAAUAAUAACCUUGUACUAGGGAGCUGGUGAAACCGGGGCGGUAUCUAGACAAGAUUAUUAUUAUUUGUCGACGAAAAGUCAAAACAUCCACAAUAAUUAGAGGAGAAGAGAAAAUAAAUUUACCAAAUAAAGCUCAUGGCACAUGUUGAGGCUUCACCUUCAACCCAAGCUUGAAAGAAAAUUAGCUACUCAUAAUUGAACUAGGGGUAGAAUGAGAAUUUAUUAAAAUACGUAGAAAAUACAAUAUGGAAAAGGAAUUACAAAAAAUUGAGCUAAAAAAUGAAUUCAGAGAUGCCAAACUAGGGGGGAGAGGCCCCAUUUUUAUAUAUACAUUGAGUAAAUCAUGGCCAUCGGAUUAAAAACAAUUUGGACGCUCAGGAUUGUGCUACGUCAUUAGUUAACAGUACGCGGUUUGACCAUGCGGUUUGAACAGUGACACGGUUUGACCACAUGGUUUGAACAGUCAACCGGCAUGAAUAGUGACGCGGUUUAGUUGAAAGUAAUCCUUUGUAUAUGCAUGUACUGUACGCUCGAUUUUUUGGUCCACUAAUAUGCUGCCACGUCACCGAUCAACAGUGCAUAAGAAUUUGCUCUAAUGGAAUCGUGACACCUCAUCAGUCAAUGCCACAUCAUCGGUCAAUGCCACGUCAUCGUUCCGUCUGUGUAAACAGUGUCGUGAACAGUAACAUGGACAGUACCGUACAUGUGAACAGUGCCAUUUUUCCUUUUAUACUCCUCCUAAGGUUUUCGACUAUCCUGAGUUCAAAAGUGAUGUCCGUUUUGCCGUCUGAUCUCUCGUUCAUAUUGAAAUGACCAUGACACCCCUAAAAUGCAUAAAAUACUUAAUUAAAAUAAAAUACAAAUAAUUAAAUUACAAGAGACUAAAAUACAUAAAAGUAUAAGUAUUAGUAAAACUUGAAGUGUAAAAUGAUGAUUUUCUCCUUUAUAAAUAUACAUUUUCUAACACUCAACAUUGGAUAACUUGCUAAAUUCACAAAAAUGUGUAUUUGACAAAGGAGGCAUUGGUUAUAAGCCAAAUUUGAAACAAAAGUAUUACAAGAGUUAUUUUGUGAAGAAUACAUCUAUUAACAAUCAAAUUGUAUGUCAUUAUUGUAAUCAAGAUGGUCAUAUGAAAAAUAGAUGUCCAGUGAAGAGAAUUAUAUUUUAUGGUGUGAAAUGUGUUUGGGUUCCGAAAGAAACCAUUGCUAACUCUCAAGGACCUAAAAAGGUUUGGGUACCUAAUACUUGAGAUUUUCUCUGCAGGGCUUGAAGAAGAAGAAGAAUAAGUGGUACUUGGACAGUGGUUGUUCAAGACACAUGACAGGGAAUUAUUCUUGAUUUUCAAGUUUCACCAAGAUCGAAAAUGGUAGAGAUGUAUCGUUUGGAGAUAAUUCAAAAGGAAAAAUCAUUGGCAUUGGGAAUGUCAGUAAUGUAUCCUCUACUCUCAUUGAAAAUGUGUGUUUGGUUGAAAACUUAAAACACAACUUGCUUAGCAUUAGUCAAUUAUGCGAUAAAGGAUAUAGAGUUAUCUUUGAUAAAUCAAAAUGUGUUAUUGAGAAUGCAUGUGAUGGCAAGGUUUUGUUUGUAGGAAAUAAAUGUGUUAAUGUCUAUACCAUUAAUAAUAGAUUGUCCAUCUAAAAAUAAUAAAUGUUUCUCCGCAUUGCAUGAUGAUGGUUGGUUAUGGCAUAGAAGAUUAGGUCAUGCAGGCAUGGAUUUGAUUUCAAAAAUCGUGAAAAAUAAUUUGGUUAAAAGUCUUCCAAAAAUCAGUUUUUUAAAAAAUAGAAUUUGUGAAGCUUGCCAAUUUGGAAAACAAAUCAAAACUUCUUUCAAAAAUAAGAAAAAUAUUUCUACUUCAAAACCACUUCAACUGCUUCACAUAGACUUGUUUGGACCUUCUAAAUAUGCUAGUUUAAAUGACAAAUAUUAUGCUUUUGUAAUUGUGGAUGAUUAUUCUAGAUACACAUGGGUUUUAUUCUUAGUAAUAAGGAUGAUACCUUUGAUUCAUUUAAAGUUUUCUGCAAAAAGAUUCAAAAUGAAAAGGGAAGUAGUAUUUCUUGUAUUAGAAGUGAUCAUGGUGGAGAAUUUGAAAAUUAUGCAUUUGAGAACUUUUGUAAUGAUUUUGGCAUUGAGCAUUAAUUUUCAUCACCUAGGACUCCUCAACAAAAUGGAGUUGUAGAGAGAAAGAAUAGGUCUAUUCAAGAAAUUGUUAUGACCAUGUUGAAUGAAAAUUCUUUGCCUAAGUAUUUUUUGGGCUGAAGCUGUCAACACCGCUUGUUAUAUUUUGAAUUGUGUGUUGAUUAGAUCUAAUUUUAAUAAAACUCCAUAUGAGCUUUGGAAAGAUAGAAAACCCAAUAUUGGCUAUUUUAAAGUCUUUAGAUGCAAAUGUUUUGUUUUGAACACAAAAGAUAAUCUUGGUAAAUUUGAUCCAAAAUCUGAUGUUGGUAUUUUUCUUGGUUAUUCAAACUCAAGAAAAGCUUAUAGAGUGUAUAAUAAAAGAAUUUUGGUUGUGGAAGAAUCUAUGCAUGUUACAUUUGAUGAGUCUAACCCCUCAUAUAUGGAGAAAGUCGUUGUUGAUGAUAAUGCAAAAGAAGAACAAGAAGAAUAAGCAUCAAAUGACAACCAAAAAGAUGCACCACAUGGAAUUCAAGAGAAACAUCAUGAAGAAACAAAUGCAGAGAAAAAUGAAGGUAAUUCUCAAAUACUCCCCAAGGAGUGGAGGUAUGUUUCUUCUCAGCCUAAGGAUGUAAUAUUAGGAGAUCCCUCACGAGGUGUUAUAACUAGGUCAUCACUUAGGAACACAUGUGAGCAUGCUAGAUUUAUUUCUCAAAUUGAACCAAAAUUCUUUACGGAUGCGGAAAAUGAUGAAUCUUGGACUAUGGCAAUGCAAGAGGAGUUGAAUCAAUUUGAGAGAAACAAUGUGUGGGAAUUAGUUCCUAAUCCGGAACAUCAAUCCAUUAUAGGCACUAAGUGGGUAUUUAGAAACAAAAUGGAUGAAUCCGGUGUGGUUGUAAGAAAUAAAGCUAGAUUAGUGGCUCAAGGUUACAACCAAGAAGAUUGCUCUUGAUGAAACAUUUGCACUUGUAGCUACACUAGAAUCCAUUAGAAUGCUCUUAUCUUUUGCAUGUCAUAAAGAUUUUAUUUUAUAUCAAAUGGAUGUCAAGAGUGCUUGCUUAAAUGGUUAUAUUAUGGAGGAAGUUUAUGUGAAACAACCUCUUGGUUUCGAAAAUGAAAAAUUUCCAAAUCAUGUGUAUAAGUUGUCUAAGGCAUUAUAUGGAUUAAAACAAGCAUCUAGAGCAUGGUAUGAUAGGCUUAAAAACUUCUUGUUAGAUAACUAUUUUUUUAUGGGAAAAACGGACACAACUCUCUUUGUUAAGCAUAAGAACUAAGAUAUACUUAUUGUUCAAAUUUAUGUUGAUGACAUUAUCUUUGGUUCUACUAAUGAAUUGUUAUGUAAAGAAUUUUCAUUGUGUAUGAGCAAAGAAUUUGAGAUGAGUAUGAUGGGAGAGUUGAAGUACUUCCUUGGACUCCAAAUCAAACAAAAUGAGGAAGGAAUUUUCAUAAAUCAAGCCAAGCACGUGAAAGAUCUACUCAAAAGAUUUGGCUAUGAUAAUGGAACGGCAAAAAGCACUCCAAUGAGUACUACCUGUUAACAUAAAUAUUUAUUUAUUAUUGAUUUUGAUGAUAACAAACUUGAUUAAGAUUUUGAUUAAUCUUUUAAAAGCUCCAAAUAGUUUUCAUAUACUUUUAUAUCAUCAUUCUCACUUUAUAAAGGCUUUAUAUUCUAUGAAAUUAUUGUUGGUUAUUCUCAUGAUAAUGGUUUCAAUUAAAAAAGCUUUGAGAAUUUUGAUAAAUAACAAGUAUUGCUUAAAAUCCUGAAAAUGGACCUAUUCAACAAGUUUUGAGCCAUAGUAUAAUUUUAUAAAGUUUUGGGACCAAACUAUAAUUUUAUAAAAAUAGUUCACUGUAGCAGUCACUGUAGAAAACAGCGAUCCGACAUCUUGAUAACGGCUCACUGACAUUGAACAGAAUUGAAGAUUAGACUUUGGACACUAACGACGAUCCGACAUCUAGAUAACGGCUAUCCGACAAUUUGAAAACUCAGCCCAACAGUCAUAUUGACUAGUCAAACGGCGAUCCGAUAUCUAGUUAACGAUGAUCCGACAGUGAGCAGAAAGUCAAUAACGGCUAGUUUUCAGCUCCAACUAUAAAUAAGCUCAAUCAAAUUCAAACUUUAACGAUUCCAACAAUUAUUAUUGAGCAAAGUCGUGAGCAUACAACAUUCAUUGAGCCUUAAAUUCCUGUAUUCAUCUCAUUUACUCACACUUUGAAUCUUCAUUUGUAAUCAAACACACUGUGUGAGAGAGAUUUAUUUUGUAACAUUCUUUAAAAUCAAAUUGAGUGAUUGUAAGUGUUGGAAUACACUUAGGUUAAGAGAUUGGGGAUAAUUUCUUGUUGUAAAGGUUUAUUGACACCUUAGAAGUCAAGUGUAAGCAUUUGAAGCCUUGGAGGCGUGGACGUAGGCGAGGUUGGCCAAACCACGUAAAAAUCCCCUUGUUUGAAUCUCUCUUCCCUUAUCUUUUUAUAUUGUGAUAAAUUUGUUUAUUAAUUGCUUUAAAUUCGUUUUAGAUUUGCAUUGAGUUUUUUUUUAUUAGAAUUGAAAAAUUUUUAGAAUCUCAAUUCACCCCCCCUCUUGGGUUGCAUAACUAGAAUUUCAGUUGGCAUCAGAGCCUUGUUCUCUUGUUAGAACUUAAUCGUCUAGAGUAAAAGAUUCAUUGCAACCCUAAUUGACUCAACCUUUAGAGAAGGACAAUGCACAACUAGACCACCGUUCUAAAAUGCAAGUUAUGCAACCCAAGAGGGUGGGUAAAUUGAGAUUUUAAAAUUUAUGCAAUACAAUUCGCACAACAAUUUAAUCUAUUGCCUUAAUCAAAUCAAAAACAAUAAAUUCAAUCAAGCACAAUAUUAAAAGAGUAAGGGAAGAGAAAACAAACAAAAUGAUUUUUACGUGGUUCGGCUAUCCCCGCCUACGUCCACGCCUCCAAGCUCACCCGGCUUGAGGAUUUCACUAUCCAAGCCUUCCAAGGCUUCAAAUAUUUACAAUUGACUUCCAAGGUGUAGAGGUGGCAAAAAUACCCGCCCGGUCCGGACCCGGACCGUACCCGGGUGUUGCGGGCCGGGUAAUAUCCGGCUCGGGUAUGAAGCCGGGUCGGUCUUGGGCAUCACUUGAUAAACCCGGAACCCGGAUUUUAUUAAAAAAAAUUAUAAAAUAUAUAUUAUUUUAAAUAUUUUAUAUUUAUUUGACUUAUUUAUUAUACAUAUAUAAAGUUUUAAAAACUUAAAGUUGAUAUUUUCAUGUCAAAUUUUAUUGAAAUAAAUUUAAAACUUAUAAAAUUAUCAAAAAAUAAAAAAUAUAUACACAUAAAAUAUUAAAAAAUAUAAAAUCCGGGUACCCAGAUUAAAACCCAGCUCGGACCCGGACCCGGACCGGUUGCAUCCGGGCAGGGUCCGGUCAUGGCAAUACCCGGACCCGGCCCGGGGUUUUGCCAUCUCUACCAAGGUGUCAAUGGACCUUUAUAACAAGAGAUCAUCUCCCCAAUCUCUUCACCACAAGUGUUUAUCACACUUGUCCACUUACAAUUUGAUGAGAAAUGAAAAUCACAACAAUGAAACUCUCUUUAAGAGUGGAUAACAAAGUAUAGCUCAAUAAUGCUUCAAUAAAUGAUGAUUUGCGAAAUGGAAGCUCAAUAUAUGUUAUAUGAUCUUAUUUUUGCUUGCAUUAGUUCUUAAAAUGAAGUUGGAGUUGAGUUUUUAUAGUUAAAGCCCGAAAACUAGCUGUUAUAGCCAAAUUCUAGUACCCAAGUAGUUAGCCGCUUGUAACAGUGAUAUUACCGUUAUUUUGAAUUUUACUACAAUAAUACUGUUCACUAAAAUUAUAGUUUGGCCCAAAACUUUCUAUAAUUCUAUGAUGACCCAAAAUGUCAUAAAACUUUACAAAUAGGUCCAAUUUCAGAAUUUCCCAAUAAUUGUUGUCUUUCCAAAACUUUCUAAAAUUAUGCUAUGGCCCCAAUAUAUUAUUAUUUCUCAAAGAGGUCCUUUUUAACAUAAUACCCAUAUUUUUUAAAGUUCUCAAAAGCUUUCACUUUAGUCCAAAAUAUUCAUAAAUUAUAGUAUGGCCCAAAACAUUUCAAAUGUUUGUAAAAAGGUCCAACUCCGAAAUUCAAUAAUAAUACUUAUUAAAAUCAAAGAUUUCAAAACUUUGCAUUUAAGUCCAAAUUACUCAAAUCCACAAAAUACUUUACCUUAUAAAAAUAAAACCGUUUAGUUUAUGAAAAGUAAUUAUUUAAAUUAAUCUCUUGAGCUUCUCAAAUGCUAAAUCAUACAUAAAUUAAAUCAUAUCGGCUUUACAAGAAUUUAUCACACUAAUUUGUUCGUUGAGCUCUAAACUUUAUUCUUCAUUUGGCCGUUGUCCGUUGAGUGUCUUGAGCUUGAUUUCACUUGAUUCACUUGCAUAAAUAUUACUCUUAAAAAACUAGUGAAAAUGUGAAAUACAAUAUUUAUUAAAUCAUUUAAUACAUAUGUUUGUUAUCAUCAAAAUUACAUUAUGUGUAGCCCUUUAGGCUAACAAUCUCCCCCUUUUUGAUGAUGACAAACAUCUCAUGUAUUUUGACAUAUAUACUCCCCCUUAAUACAUGGCAUAUAUAAUUCAACAUAUAAAUCAAAUUCAAAACUCCCCCUGAAAAUAUGGUCUAUAACAAUUUGUAAACUCCCUCUUAAUAUUUCAAAACCAUGCACAAAUACUUCAAGAUCAAAAUAGAAUUCAAAAUACAUGACUUCUCCCCCUUCAUCAUCAAAAUUACUAUGAAUCCAUGCUUAUACCAAAAAUAACACUUCAAUGAUUAAUCAAGAAACAAAUAAGAAUUAAGCAUGCAAUUAACCAAAGAGUCACAACAUUUCAAGAAUUCAGAGAAUAUCAUCCAAAUAUCACAUAACAAUCAUCCUCAAUCUAUAAUUAAGAGCCUGUUUGGUAUGGCUUAUUUAAGAGCCAUAAGUGCUUAUUUAAUCGUAUAAGCACUUUUUAAAAUUUUUUAUGGUAUUUGGUUUUUUUUUAGUAGAGUUUUUUUAGCUUAAAUAAGCUAAUUUACCUCUACUAGGAAAAGCCCAAAAUUUGAGCUUUUGGGAGUAGAGGUUAUAAAGCUUUUCUAAAUAUAUAUAAUAUAAAAAAUAUCACAUAGUUUAAUGGUUCAAAAGUGCUUUUUUUAUUGACAACCAAACACCCAAUGACUUUUUGUCCAAAAGCUCUAUUGGUAUAAGCUCUACUGCUAUAAGCUCUACUGUUAUAAGCUCUAUUUAAUAAGCUGUACCAAACGGAGCCUAAAACAACAAUGCAUAUGAAAAAUGUAAUGCAGAAUUAAACUAAGAACUGAAAUCAAGAUGAAUAUGGUGGAUGUGGAAAAUGAGUUAAUAUGAACUUUGGAUUGUCUCUAUGAUGUUUCUCGCACCUUUUGGCUAUUUGUUUUCCUUUGGAUUUUUCAUAACCAACUAUUACGGAAAACAAGAAUACGCUUAAAUACCCAAAUUCGGAUGUUCAAGAUUUUGUGUGAAAUGGAAGUGUUUGAGUCAAUAAAAUUUGAUCGUAGAGAUGAUUUAAUGCAAUGUAUGAUAUUAAUUUGAUCAAGAUGAGCUAAAAAUAGCUUGAAAUGUAGGAGAAAGAAAUGAGCAAGCUUAGAUUUUGAUUUUGAGAUUUGGAGAAACAAGUGAUGAUUUGAUGAUUUGAAAGUUAGAAAUAAUUUGAAUGAGCACUUUUGGCAUAAAAAUGGGUGAGAAAUGAAGAAAAUUUGAAUGGAAAUGGAGAAGAGGCUGUGGGUAGAGAGAGAGUGAUGAAAGGUUGAAGAAAGCAUGAGAAAGGGGGAGAAAAAAAAAACCCUUAAACCCGUGACCAAGCGGCUAACCGCUUGGGGGCAAGCGACUAGCCGCUUGCUCUCGGGUUUGGGACAGCUCCCAAGUGGCUAGCCGCUUGGGGCAGGCGGCUAGCCGCCUCAUGGCUGCCCUUCUGUACCAUGUUCACUUUCCGGCUUAUUUGAUCAAUCCCGAGGUCAUCUCACGAUUCCGAAACAUCUCAAAAGCCAUUUUAAUGCAUUUCAGCCAUGUUCGCUCCCUCGUAUGGAUCNNNNNNNNNNNNNNNNNNNNNNNNNNNNNNNNNNNNNNNNNNNNNNNNNNNNNNNNNNNNNNNNNNNNNNNNNNNNNNNNNNNNNNNNNNNNNNNNNNNNNNNNNNNNNNNNNNNNNNNNNNNNNNNNNNNNNNNNNNNNNNNNNNNNNNNNNNNNNNNNNNNNNNNNNNNNNNNNNNNNNNNNNNNNNNNNNNNNNNNNNNNNNNNNNNNNNNNNNNNNNNNNNNNNNNNNNNNNNNNNNNNNNNNNNNNNNNNNNNNNNNNNNNNNNNNNNNNNNNNNNNNNNNNNNNNNNNNNNNNNNNNNNNNNNNNNNNNNNNNNNNNNNNNNNNNNNNNNNNNNNNNNNNNNNNNNNNNNNNNNNNNNNNNNNNNNNNNNNNNNNNNNNNNNNNNNNNNNNNNNNNNNNNNNNNNNNNNNNNNNNNNNNNNNNNNNNNNNNNNNNNNNNNNNNNNNNNNNNNNNNNNNNNNNNNNNNNNNNNNNNNNNNNNNNNNNNNNNNNNNNNNNNNNNNNNNNNNNNNNNNNNNNNNNNNNNNNNNNNNNNNNNNNNNNNNNNNNNNNNNNNNNNNNNNNNNNNNNNNNNNNNNNNNNNNNNNNNNNNNNNNNNNNNNNNNNNNNNNNNNNNNNNNNNNNNNNNNNNNNNNNNNNNNNNNNNNNNNNNNNNNNNNNNNNNNNNNNNNNNNNNNNNNNNNNNNNNNNNNNNNNNNNNNNNNNNNNNNNNNNNNNNNNNNNNNNNNNNNNNNNNNNNNNNNNNNNNNNNNNNNNNNNNNNNNNNNNNNNNNNNNNNNNNNNNNNNNNNNNNNNNNNNNNNNNNNNNNNNNNNNNNNNNNNNNNNNNNNNNNNNNNNNNNNNNNNNNNNNNNNNNNNNNNNNNNNNNNNNNNNNNNNNNNNNNNNNNNNNNNNNNNNNNNNNNNNNNNNNNNNNNNNNNNNNNNNNNNNNNNNNNNNNNNNNNNNNNNNNNNNNNNNNNNNNNNNNNNNNNNNNNNNNNNNNNNNNNNNNNNNNNNNNNNNNNNNNNNNNNNNNNNNNNNNNNNNNNNNNNNNNNNNNNNNNNNNNNNNNNNNNNNNNNNNNNNNNNNNNNNNNNNNNNNNNNNNNNNNNNNNNNNNNNNNNNNNNNNNNNNNNNNNNNNNNNNNNNNNNNNNNNNNNNNNNNNNNNNNNNNNNNNNNNNNNNNNNNNNNNNNNNNNNNNNNNNNNNNNNNNNNNNNNNNNNNNNNNNNNNNNNNNNNNNNNNNNNNNNNNNNNNNNNNNNNNNNNNNNNNNNNNNNNNNNNNNNNNNNNNNNNNNNNNNNNNNNNNNNNNNNNNNNNNNNNNNNNNNNNNNNNNNNNNNNNNNNNNNNNNNNNNNNNNNNNNNNNNNNNNNNNNNNNNNNNNNNNNNNNNNNNNNNNNNNNNNNNNNNNNNNNNNNNNNNNNNNNNNNNNNNNNNNNNNNNNNNNNNNNNNNNNNNNNNNNNNNNNNNNNNNNNNNNNNNNNNNNNNNNNNNNNNNNNNNNNNNNNNNNNNNNNNNNNNNNNNNNNNNNNNNNNNNNNNNNNNNNNNNNNNNNNNNNNNNNNNNNNNNNNNNNNNNNNNNNNNNNNNNNNNNNNNNNNNNNNNNNNNNNNNNNNNNNNNNNNNNNNNNNNNNNNNNNNNNNNNNNNNNNNNNNNNNNNNNNNNNNNNNNNNNNNNNNNNNNNNNNNNNNNNNNNNNNNNNNNNNNNNNNNNNNNNNNNNNNNNNNNNNNNNNNNNNNNNNNNNNNNNNNNNNNNNNNNNNNNNNNNNNNNNNNNNNNNNNNNNNNNNNNNNNNNNNNNNNNNNNNNNNNNNNNNNNNNNNNNNNNNNNNNNNNNNNNNNNNNNNNNNNNNNNNNNNNNNNNNNNNNNNNNNNNNNNNNNNNNNNNNNNNNNNNNNNNNNNNNNNNNNNNNNNNNNNNNNNNNNNNNNNNNNNNNNNNNNNNNNNNNNNNNNNNNNNNNNNNNNNNNNNNNNNNNNNNNNNNNNNNNNNNNNNNNNNNNNNNNNNNNNNNNNNNNNNNNNNNNNNNNNNNNNNNNNNNNNNNNNNNNNNNNNNNNNNNNNNNNNNNNNNNNNNNNNNNNNNNNNNNNNNNNNNNNNNNNNNNNNNNNNNNNNNNNNNNNNNNNNNNNNNNNNNNNNNNNNNNNNNNNNNNNNNNNNNNNNNNNNNNNNNNNNNNNNNNNNNNNNNNNNNNNNNNNNNNNNNNNNNNNNNNNNNNNNNNNNNNNNNNNNNNNNNNNNNNNNNNNNNNNNNNNNNNNNNNNNNNNNNNNNNNNNNNNNNNNNNNNNNNNNNNNNNNNNNNNNNNNNNNNNNNNNNNNNNNNNNNNNNNNNNNNNNNNNNNNNNNNNNNNNNNNNNNNNNNNNNNNNNNNNNNNNNNNNNNNNNNNNNNNNNNNNNNNNNNNNNNNNNNNNNNNNNNNNNNNNNNNNNNNNNNNNNNNNNNNNNNNNNNNNNNNNNNNNNNNNNNNNNNNNNNNNNNNNNNNNNNNNNNNNNNNNNNNNNNNNNNNNNNNNNNNNNNNNNNNNNNNNNNNNNNNNNNNNNNNNNNNNNNNNNNNNNNNNNNNNNNNNNNNNNNNNNNNNNNNNNNNNNNNNNNNNNNNNNNNNNNNNNNNNNNNNNNNNNNNNNNNNNNNNNNNNNNNNNNNNNNNNNNNNNNNNNNNNNNNNNNNNNNNNNNNNNNNNNNNNNNNNNNNNNNNNNNNNNNNNNNNNNNNNNNNNNNNNNNNNNNNNNNNNNNNNNNNNNNNNNNNNNNNNNNNNNNNNNNNNNNNNNNNNNNNNNNNNNNNNNNNNNNNNNNNNNNNNNNNNNNNNNNNNNNNNNNNNNNNNNNNNNNNNNNNNNNNNNNNNNNNNNNNNNNNNNNNNNNNNNNNNNNNNNNNNNNNNNNNNNNNNNNNNNNNNNNNNNNNNNNNNNNNNNNNNNNNNNNNNNNNNNNNNNNNNNNNNNNNNNNNNNNNNNNNNNNNNNNNNNNNNNNNNNNNNNNNNNNNNNNNNNNNNNNNNNNNNNNNNNNNNNNNNNNNNNNNNNNNNNNNNNNNNNNNNNNNNNNNNNNNNNNNNNNNNNNNNNNNNNNNNNNNNNNNNNNNNNNNNNNNNNNNNNNNNNNNNNNNNNNNNNNNNNNNNNNNNNNNNNNNNNNNNNNNNNNNNNNNNNNNNNNNNNNNNNNNNNNNNNNNNNNNNNNNNNNNNNNNNNNNNNNNNNNNNNNNNNNNNNNNNNNNNNNNNNNNNNNNNNNNNNNNNNNNNNNNNNNNNNNNNNNNNNNNNNNNNNNNNNNNNNNNNNNNNNNNNNNNNNNNNNNNNNNNNNNNNNNNNNNNNNNNNNNNNNNNNNNNNNNNNNNNNNNNNNNNNNNNNNNNNNNNNNNNNNNNNNNNNNNNNNNNNNNNNNNNNNNNNNNNNNNNNNNNNNNNNNNNNNNNNNNNNNNNNNNNNNNNNNNNNNNNNNNNNNNNNNNNNNNNNNNNNNNNNNNNNNNNNNNNNNNNNNNNNNNNNNNNNNNNNNNNNNNAGUUGUUACCAAAACAAUUAAAUCAUAUUGUCUCAUCAUUUUUGCUUACACCAUGAUCAAGUGAUUAUUCUCAUAAGCUUUUAUCAAGGAACUCUCCGCCAUUCCUUGAUUGUGGUGCCUACAAAAAAUAUUCAAGUUGUGUGCUUUGGUACCCAAAUAUUCUUGGAUCCUUGAGUGUUAGCAAUGGUUCCUUUUGGAACCCAAAUACAUGUUACUCCAUAAUAUGCAUUUCUUUUAACCGGACAUCUAAGCUUCAUGUGACCAUUUUGAUUGCAAUAAUGGCAUACAAUUUGAUCAUUAAUGGAGGUAGUUUUAACAAAAUAACUCUUAUAAUAUUUUUAUUUCAAAUUUGGCUUAUAACCAAUCUCUCCUUUAUCAAACACACAUUUUUGUGAAUUAAGCAAGUUAUCCAACAUCUUUUGCCUAUUUGUGAAUUUUAACAGAAUUUGAUUUAGCUCAUUGCUCUUCUUCUUAAGCACUUCAUUUUCUUUCAUUAAUUCAUCAACAUAUAAUUUCUCAUACUCAUAUGAAGUACUUUGUUUGCAUUUAAAUGUGCAAUUCUAUCAACCAACAUUUUAUUAUCUAACUCUAGUCCUUUAAUCUUUUCAUUUAAUGAAUCAUUGCAUUUUUGUAAAGCAUCCUUUUCAUUUUAAAUCUUUGACUUCCUCUAUGGCAGUCCUUUUUGGUCUCCAUUCCUUAGGUAGCGACCUAAUGAUUUUCUUAACUUUCUCGCUAUUUGAAAAGGUCUUUCCUAGGGCUCCUAGAGUGUUCACUAUGUCCGUAAAUCUAAUAUACAUAAAAUACACACUCUCAUUUUGUUCUAUUUGAAACAAUUCAUAUUGUCGAGUGUACCUACUAAUUUUAGACUCUUUCACUUGAUUCGUGCCUUCAUAAACAACUUCAAGUUUGUGCCAAAUUUCAUUAGCACUUUCACCACUAGAUACUCUAUGAAACUCUUUCUUAUCUAGUGCACAAAACAAGGCAUUCAUAGCUUUGGAGUUUAGAGAAUCUUUUUUCUUUUCCAAUUUAUUCCAUUCCCAUGAAGGUUUUGAAAUAUCUUCCCCGACUUCGAUUUUAGUCAAAGGCAUAAAUGGACCAUCACAAACAAUUUCCCAAAUUUCAUAAUCUAAAGCGUGUAAUAAAUUCUCAUCCUAGUUUUCUCUUUAACUCUAGACGAUUAAGUCUACACAAGAGCACCUUGCUCUGAUACCAAAUGAAAUGCAAGUUAUGCAACCCAAGAGGAGGGGUGAAUUGGGAUUUUAAAAUUUAUGCAGUACAAUUCGCACAACAAUUUAAUCUAUUGCUUUAAUCAAAUAAAAAACACUAAAUUCAAUCAAGCACAAUAUUAAAAGAGUAAGGGAAGAGAAAACAAACAAAAGGAUUUUUACGUGGUUCGGCUAUCCCCGCCUACGUCCACGCCUCAAAGCUCACCCGGCUUGAGGAUUUCACUAUCCAAGCCUCCCAAGGCUUCAAAUAUUUACAAUUGACUUCCAAGGUGUCAAUGGACCUUUACAACAAGAGAUCAUCUCCCCAAUCUCUUCACCCCAAGUGUUUAUCACACUUGUCCACUUACAAUUUGAUGAGAAAUGAAAAUCACAACAAUGAAACUCUCUUUAAGAGUGGAUAACAAAUUAUAGCUCAAUAAUGAUUCAAUAAAUGAUGAUUUACGAAAUGGAAGCUCAAUAUAUGUUAUAUGAUCUUAUUUUUGCUUGCAUUAGUUCUUAAAAUGAAGUUAGAGUUGAGUUUUUAUAGUUAAAGCCCGAAAACUAGCCGUUAUAGCCAAAUUCCAGCACCCAAGCGGUUAGCCGCUUGAUUUAUCCGGCUAGCCACUUGUAACAGUGAUAUUACUGUUAUUUUUGAAUUUUGCUACAACAACACUGUUCACUAAAAUUACACUUUGUCCCAAAACUUUCUAUAAUUCUAUUAUGGCCCAAAAUGUCAUAACACUUUGCAAAUAGGUCCAAUUUCAGAAAUUCUUAAUAAUAGUUGUCUUCCCAAAACUUUUUAAAAUUAUGCUAUGGCCCCAAAUAUACUAUUAUUUCUCAAAGAAGUCCUUUUUAACAUAAUACCCAUAUUUUUCAAAGUUCUCAAAAUCUUUCACUUUAGUCCAAAAAUUCAUAAAUUAUAAUAUGGCCCAAAACAUUUCAAAUGUUUGUAAAAAGGUCCAACUCUGAAAUUCAAUAAUAAUACUUAUUAAAAUCAAAGAUUUCAAAACCUGCAUUUGACAGCCUGCAUUUUCCAAAUGGUUAACUGGCUCAACGGUUUCACGAGAAAUUUAUGGGAAAAGUGGUAACUCCCUCUUUCUAUAUUGAUAUCAACGAUUUCUCUGAUAUUACUAUAUGUGGUAGAACUUUGCCUCAAAUGCUAAGACAAUGGGAUAAAGCUUUAGGCAUUGAAGAACGAAUCUAUGAAAAUUUAGUUAAGGUGUUUUACUGUAAUAUGGAGAUUUCUGUUAAUCGAAAAGAUAGAGUCGUAACACAUGUUGGAGGUGUUAGGAUUGAGUUCGAUAUGUUUGAGCUUAAUCGUAUUCUUGGAAUAUCAUGUGAGGGGUUAAAUCUGUAUACUGUUAGAAAAGAGCUUCACUUUAGUCAGUUUACUCACAUUGAGGGAGUUAGGAAUAUCUGUAGACGUCGCGAUCUCUCUAACGAGGUCUGCUCAUUGUCCUUUCGGUCUCAAUUGUUACCUUUCCAAGUCCGUAUUCUUCACAGUAUUCUCCAGCACAUAAUUACACCCAGGCAUGGACAUGCUGAUGAGGUGACUAGAUUAGAUGUCGGUUUACUUGACUCUCUCAUCCGAGGAAGGCAAGUGCACCUUUCAUUCACAAUUGUGCGUCAUAUGCUCUCUACCACCGCAGUGUCUAACAGGUCUCUUCCAUGUGGUAGCAUUAUUAGUAAGAUUCUACGAUACUUUCAUGUUCCUUUGACCGAACCUGUCUAUGUUGAGACCAAAAAGUUGGGUAGGGAAAUAAUUUCGGGGAUUGGUUUUCAUUUGAGGCAAGGCAAGUGGAUCAAGGUUACCUCCUCUAAGAAUAAGGAUACUUUGGUAGCUCCGGAUGAUAACCGCAUGCUCAAUGACGUUUAUUCUGAGGAUGAGUUACCCGACUUUCGUCUUGGCGCUAGACCACGUGCCCCCCGCCGAGCAGCAGCAGAAGUAUCAUCCUCUCAGGAUGACGAGCCAGCCGAGCCAGCCGAGCCAGCUAUGCCUCCUGCAGCAUUGACCGUUCCUGAGGAUCGCAUUUAGCAGCUUUUCGACAGAGUGGAUUUCUUGUCCCAGCAGCAGCAACAGCUUUAAUUUGACUUUGCGACCUUUCGGCAGCAAAUGUUAGAUCAGCAAAUGGAGUUACUUGCUAGCCAGCGCCGUAUUCUUGGUCACCUUGGUUAUGAUCCCGGCAUUUCCUCUUCACCGCCCCUAUCUUAGUUUUCUGCACCUUUGCAUUUCGCACAAACAUUACUCAUCUCAUGUAGUUGUUGUGGUACUUAUUGAUUUUGAUUAUGCUUGUGAUGCUUUUAUGAUGUUUUUGUUUGAUAUGUGGACUUUAUUUAUGAUUGAGUUGAUUUUGAUGAUAUGUUUUGGUUGUUGCUUAUGAUUAUGUUGAUUUUGUUGGUAUGGAGGUUGGUUGCUAAAUUGGAAUUUAUAUGGGAGUGUUUUAAUUAUUUUUGUUGUUAAGGAUAUGUUCAUUUUUAAGGGGAGAUUCUACCGAAUUUUUUUUUUUACCAUGGGUAAUUUCUAAACUUCUCUUUUUAAUCUUUUCGCGCUUAUUUCUUUUUUAUGAUAAAGGGGGAGAUAAUUUAUCAAUUUGUUCUGUUAAAUUUUUAUUUUUUUUAUGAGGUCAAAAAUUGAUGGGCACAUAUUUAGGGGGAGUUAAAUUCUAUAAAUAUUUCACUUAGGGGGAGCACAUAUUUAAGGGGAGCAAAAUUGCACAAGUAUUUUCUUGAAAAGUUUGUCAUCAUAAAAAGGGGGGAGAUUGUUAACAUAAAUAUUUCUUUAUUGUUGAUUUUGAUGAUAACUAACUUGAUUAAGAUUGAUUAAUCUUUUAAAAGCUCAAAAUAGUUUUCAUAUACUUUUAAAUCAUCAUUCUCACUUUAUAAAGGCUUUAUAUUCUAUGAAAAUGCUUUUGGUUAUUCUCAUGAUAAUGGUUUCAAUUGAAAAAGCUUUGAGAAUUUUGAUAAAUAACAAGUAUUGCUUAAAAUCCUGAAAAUGGACCUAUUUAAAAAGUUUUAUAAAGUUUUGGGCCAUAGUAUAAUUUUAUAAUGUUUUAGGGCCAAACUAUAAUUUUGUAAAAAUAGUUCACUGUAGCAGUCACUGUAGAAAAUGACAAUCCGACAUUUUGAUAAUGGCUCGCCGACAUUGAACAGAAUUGAAGAUUAGUCUCUGGACACUAACGGCGAUCCGACAAUUUGAAAAUCCAGCCCAACGAUCAUAUUGUCCAGUCAAACGGCGAUCCGAUAUCUAGUUAACGGCGAUCCGAUAAUGAGCAGAAAGUCAAUAACAUCUAGUUUUCAGCUCCAACUAUAAAUAAACUCAAUCAAAUUCAAACUUUAACGAUUCCAACAAUUAUUAUUGAGCAAUGUCUUGAGCAUACAACAUUCAUUGUGCCUUAAAUUCUUGUAUUCAUCUCAUUUACUCACACUUUGAAUCUUCAUUUGUAAUCAAACACAUUGUGUGAAGAGAUUUAUUUUAUAACAUUCUUUAAAAUCAAAUUGAGUGAUUGUAAGUGUUGGAAUACACUUGGAUUAAGAGAUUGGGGAUUAUCUCUUGUUGUAAAGAUUUAUUGACACAUUAGAAGUCAAGUGUAAGCAUUUGAAGUCUUAGAGGCUUUCUUAGUGGAAUCCUCAUACCUGAAAAGCUUGGAGGCGUGGACGUAGGCGAGGUUGGCCGAACCACGUAAAAAUCCCCGUGUUUGAAUCUCUCUUCCCUUAUCUUUUUAUAUUGUGAUAAAUUUAUUUGUUAAUUACUUUAAAUUCGUUUUAGAUUUGCAUUAAGUUCUUUUUAUUAGAAUUGAAUAAUUUUUAGAAUCCCAAUUCACCCCCCCUCUUGGGUUGCAUAACUAGAAUUUCACUACCAUCAAGCUAGACAAAAAUGAGAAAGGUAAGGAAGUUGAUAUCAAGACUUGUCGAGGUAUGAUCGGAUCCUUACUCUACUUGACUGCUAGUAGACCUGAUAUUAUGUUUAGUAUAUGCUUGUGUGCUAGAUUUCAAUCUUGUCCUAAAGAGUUGCACAUGCUUGCUGUCAAACGAAUUUUUCGAUAUUUGAUUGGCACCAUUAAUCUUAGUCUUUGGUAUCCUAGGGGAACUCAUAUUGACUUAACUUGUUAUUCAGAUACCGACUUUGCCGGAUAUAAGGUUGAUAGAAAAAGUACUAGUGGGACAUGUCACUUCCUAGGUCAUUCACUUGUCUCUUGGUUUAGUAAGAAGCAAAACUCGGUUGCUCUUUCAACCACCGAGGCUGAAUAUAUAGCCGCUGGUAGUUGUUGUGCACAAAUCCUUUGGAUGAAACAAACUCUUAGAAACUAUGGUAUUAAUUUUGAUCAAAUACCUGUCUUAUGUGACAAUACUAGUGCUAUUAAUCUAUCCAAGAAUCCCAUUCAACAUUCUAGGCCUAAGCAUAUAGAAAUUAGGUAUCACUUCCUUAGAGAUCAUGUUUAAAAAGGAGAUGUUGUAAUUAAAUUUGUUUAUACUGAAAAUCAACUUGCAGAUAUCUUUACAAAACCUCUUAGUGAAGAGCAUUUUAUAAAGAUAAGACAUGAGCCUGGAAUGAUGAAUGUUGCAUCUUGAAUUAUGAUUUGUUGAUUAAGUUGAUACGUUUGUUCUUGUAUGCAUUUAUGUUUCAUUUAUAUUUAAAUGGCUUAUUGAAAAGUUUUAAAUCACAAAAUGAUUUAAAAUUGAUCAAUUUUAAGCCAAAAAUAAAAUGGUGUGUAUAAUACAAGUCUAAGAGUCAAAAUGAUUUCCAAAGAUUAACUGUCUUUCAACCGGAAAACCAUUUUUCUUAAUGAUUAUUCUUUGGAUCACAUUCGGAUAACCAGAUUGGAAAUCCGAAAAGCCAGAUUUGUAAAGCUUCUUUUUUGCCUUAAAACCGGACAACCAGUUCUUCAAACCUGUAAGCCGAAUUGCUUUUGAAAAUUUUUUGGAAAAUAUCCAGUCAACCGGUUAGGGAAUUCGGAAAACCAGUUUCAGUUUUUGAACUCACUGCAUCAUAACCGGAUAGCCGGUUAUCUAAUCGGAAAAGCCGAAUUUGCAAACCCUUUUUUUGCCUCAAAACCGGACAAUCGGUUCCUCUAUCCGGAAAUUCGAAUUCGCGUAACUAAUCUACUGCCUCACAAAGAGCUAGCCGGUUAUGUAAUCCGGUAAGCCGAAUUCGUGAAGUUCUGCCUCAAAACCGGCCAGCCAGUUCUUCUAACUUGUAAGCCGAAUUCGUGUGCCAUAUAAACUGUUCUUCUUUCUCCUUCAUUCGGCCAACCGGAUAGCUCUCUCUCUCUCAAAGCCGUUUACUUCUCACUCUUUCCAAAAUCCAUCAUCUUCCUAUUUUUCCGAAUCAAAUUGAGUCACAAAAAUCAUUCCCCAUCACUUUGUAUGCUCUAAAUCAUCCUUAAACUUCAUUUUCUUCACCUAAAUUUCUAGAUCCCAAAUUCAAUCGAGGUUUUCAACCAAAAUUUCUCUCUUUAGAUUUCAUAUUCUUAGGCAAUUUUUGAACCGAAUUACAGCGCACAAUCUCUUUCAAUCCUCAUCAUCUUUCUUCUCAUUGAUCGUUUUAACUUCAAAUCAAUCAAAAUCACAAUGUCAAGCUCACAGUCGGUUCGAGGAAAAGGCAAAGAACCGGUUCAACAAACCAACUAGUCAUGGCAAGAAGGGGGCAACUUUGUGUCCGUACAUUUUCAAAACAAGCAUUUAGUCAAACGGUUUCACCAAAGCUUCAUGACCCGUGAAGUACGCUCUUCAUUUUUCGUUUUACCGGAUUGGCUUCAUAGACUCAAUAUUAGUCAUAGAAAUUUGUAUCAAUUGUUGGAAGAAGUUGGUUGGAUUAAUGUACUUAUGAUUCAGGAGAAUGUGUAUCCCGACUUAGUGAAAGUGUUUUACUCGAAUAUGGACAUUUUCGAGGAGAAAAAGAAUCGAGUAAUCACUAUGGUUGGAGGAGUGUUGAUUGAUUUUGAUGUUUUGGAGUUAAAUUCAAUUCUAGGAUCCUCCGAUUAUGGCUUAGAAAUCUUCUCGCCUAGGAAAUCUUCCAAACUUGAUAGUUUUGUUCAUGUUGACGCCGUUAGAAAUAUAUGCCGGCAUAAUGACCUUUCUGUUGAAAAUUGCACCAUUCAUUUUCGCACUCAAUGCCUAUGUCUCCAAUCUCGGAUUUUGCUUCGUUUUAUUCAGUCUAUUGUACUUCCUAGAUCAGGGCAUUUGGAUGAGGUUUCUCAUAUGGAUGUUUCUUUGAUUGAUUGAAACCUGCGACGUCGUCCGGUUAAUUUGGGGUAUACCAUUAUCCGAACUAUGCUUUUCAUUCCUAACUUGAUUACUCAUUCCCUUCCGUAUGGUCAUUUUUUCACUCGGAUCCUUAAAUACUUUAAGGUUUCGAUUAAUGAACCAUCAUGCAAACCCUCUAAGAGUAUCGGGGAUGAAGCUGUAUAUGCCUUAGGAUUUUAGUGGAAGAAUAGAACUUGGGUAAAAUUUACUGAAAAUAAGUUUACUUUUCUUGCUCCGAGUGAUGAUCGGUCACUCAACGUUGUGGUUCAUGCUGAUCAACUUCCUGAUUUCUCACUCUCAUUUCGGGGCCAGUGUAGAUGCCGAGACUCUCCAGUGUCUGCCUCUGCAUCCGCUUUACCUACUUCUAGCGAGGUUACUCUUUAGCAGCUUGUGGAUGAGGUGAGGACACUCUCUGUGCAGCAGACUGAGUUUCAGCAGCAGCAGCAACAACUCAUUCAUGGAUAACGCCUCCUCUUUGGGCACUUUGGCAUUCCAUAUCCGUAUCCUCCUCCAUCACCACCAUCCUCACCACCUCAGCAGUCUCUUAUGCUUGUAUUUGGAUACACCUACAUUUCAUUUACUACUUUAUGUACUUUUAUUUUCGAUUAUAUGGAUGGUUGUUAUGUUGUUGGAUUAUGUGUUUGUUUUGGAUGAUAUGGAUCUGUUUUGAUUGUUUGUUAUGUUGUUUACUUAUGUUUUGGAUAUUUUUUAACUAAUAUGCUUGUAUUGAGAUUUUGAUGAUUGAUAGGGGGAGCUUUUAUUAUUUUUUAUGAUAAAGGAGGAUAUAUAAUAUGUAAAGGGGAAAUAUGAGAAAUUCAUUUGUUCUAAAAAAUAUUCAUAUGCACUUAUGCAGAGGGAGUCUUUUAAAUCUUUUUGAAAUUAGUCUCUAACCUUGCAUUGAUUAAGGGGGAGCUUUUCAUAAAUAAAUUAAAUUUUUAUAACGUGUUUUGUCAUCAUAAAAAAGUGGAAGAUUGUUAGUCUAUAUGGCUAUAAAUAUUGAUUUUGAUGAUAACAAACCACAUGUUUUUGGUUGAACAAAAAUUUGUUCAUUGUGCUUUUAUAAUAAGAAAAUGAUUUUAUGGAGUUAAGUUGUUUUUUUCAAGUUGUGGACCAAAAUGAAAGAAUUUUACAAUCUUUGAUUUUAAUAAAUAUUAUUUUCAAUUUUAGAUUUGGACCUAUUUGAAACUAUUUAAAUAUUUUGGGCCAUUCUAUAAUUUCACAUAGUUUGGGCAAUACCAUAAUUUCACAUAGUUUGGGCGAUAUCAUAAUUUCAAAAAUUUUUGGGAUUAACAAAGUAUUACUUAUAAAUUCCAAAAUUGGACUUAUCUAAAAAGAUUGAUAACGUUUUGGGGCAUAAUACAAUUAUAUAAAGUUUUGGGGUCAAACUAUAAUUUUAGAAAAUAGUGCACUGUACCCAUUACUGUAGCAAGCAGCUAACCGGAUAUGACAAGCGACUAGCCGAAUUUUGGGCAGUAAGCUUUUGGAACAUAAGCGGCUAUCCGGAUUUCGCAAGCGACUAUCCGGAUUUCAAAAGUGGCUAUCCGGAUAUGAAAAGCGGCAUGCUGGAUGUUCUGAAAUUCAAGUUUUUGUUGUAAUGGUAACAUAAAAGUGGCUAACUGGAUUCCAUAAACAGUAAGCCGGUUAUCACCAAAAUGUGCAUAACGGCUAGUUUUUGAGCUCAAACUAUAUAAACUCAAAUCCAAUUCAUUUUCAAGCUCUCUAGAAAGCAAAAACAAAAAGCACACAAAAUAUGUUGAGCUCUCAAUUCGCAAAUCAUUAUGCAUUGAAUCAUUUUUGUUCUUCAAUUUGUACAUCUACUCUUUCAGAGAGUUUUUGUAGUAAUUUUCAUUUCUUCAUCUUAAUUGUGAGUGUUUGAGUGUGUGAGACACUUGAGUGAAGAGAUUGAGAGAUAAUCUCUUUGUUGUAAAGGUUCAUUGACACCUUGAAGUCAAUUGUAAGCAUUUGAAGCCUUGGAAGGCUUGGAUAGUGAAAUCCUCAAGCUUGGAUCACUUGAAGGCGUGGACGUAGGCGGUGAUUGUCGAACCACGUAAAAAUUCGUGUGUUUAUUUCUCUUCUCUCUUACUCAUUUGUUAUUGUGCUUUUAUUGAACUUAUUGCUUUCAAAUUUUUUAAGGCGUUAGAUUAGAUUGUUGUGUGGUUUUGUUAGGAUAAUUUUUAAAAUACCAAUUCACCCCCCCUCUUGGGUUGCACACUUGUAUUUCAGAGAUUGUUGGCCAAUCAACCUAAUUCUAGAAGGACUUGGACGUUAAUUUGAGACAAGACCUAUGUAUAUAUAACAGCAUUCGGCUGCAAGAGGGGAAUGCAUACGGGCACGCAGAGACGCAUAAGUUGGAGAUAUUGGGUGGUGGUCACCAUAUCAUGCAUUCUUUUGGUUUUAUUGUUCUCCAUCUAGUAUAUUAGGGUUAAGGAUGAUGUCUUGUUCAAUGAAAUAAAUUACUUUGUAUUUAACUAAUUGUCCCUAAAUAUAAGCCUUAAUAUUUAUGGUUUUUAUUUCAUGUAUUUAAUUGGAUAUUGUUAAAUAUUUUCACUAAUUCUUUUGUGCAUUAUUUAUUGUUAGAACUAAUAUUCAACUAAAUUUAUGCCUAGGUCUAUAAAAUUUAUACAAUUAUCUUUGAUUCAACGUCUUUCAUUAAAUUAUUUAAAUGAGUGUUCAAGAAAACUAACUUUUUGUUAUCACACCAUUAAGCAAAAAAAGAACAUACAUAAAAUUACUUUCAACUAUGCUAGAAUUAUAAUUAGCUUAGAUUACUUUUAGUUCUCCUUACAUUAACAAUUUAUUAUUUUUGGUUCUCCUAGCUGUUGAGUAUUAGAAAAUGUAUAUUUAUAAAGGAGAAAAUUAUUAUUUUACAUUUCAAGUCUUACUAACACUUCUACUUUUAUGUAUUUUAGUCUCUUGUAAUUUAAUUAUGUGUGUUUUAUUUUAAUUAAGUAUUUUAUAUAUUUUAGGGGUAUCAUGGUCAUCUUACAAUGAACGAGAGUUCAGACAGCAAAACGGACGUCAGUUUGAACUCAGGACAGUCGAAAACCUUAGGAUGAGCGUAAAAGGAAAAAUGGCACUGUUCAUAUGUACAGUACUAUUCACAUGUACGGUACUGUCUACAUUACUGUUCACGACACUGUUCACAUAGACGGAUCGAUUACGUGGCAUUAACUGAUGAUGUGGCAUUGACUGAUGAGGUGUGACGAUCUUGUUGGCCUAAAAUUCUUAUGUACUGUUGAUCGGUGAUGUGACAGCAUGUUAAUGAACCAAAAAUCGCGCGUACGGUACAUGCAUAUACACAGGAUUAUAACCAAACCGCGUCACUGUUCAAAUUGCGUCACUAUUCAAACCGCGUGGUCAAACCAUGUGGUCAAACCACGUACUGUUGACUGAUGACGUGGCGCAAUCCUGAGCGUCCGAAAUGUUUUUGAUCCAAUGACCAUGAUUUACUCAAUGUAUCUAGAAAAUGGGGCUCUCCCCCCCUAAUUUGGCAUCCCUGAAUUCAUUUUUGAGCUCAAUGUUCUGUAAUUCCUUCUCCUUCUUGUAGUUUCUACGUAUUUUAAUAAAUUUCUAUUUUACCCUAGUUCAAUUAUGAGUAGCUAAUUUUCUUUCAAACUUGUGUUGAAGGUGAAGUCUCAACAUGUACAAUGGGCUUUAUUUGGUAAAUUUAUUUUCUCUUCCCCUCUAAUUUUUGUGGAUGUUUUGACUUUUCGUCGAAAAAUAAUAAUAAUACCGCCCUGGUUUCACCGGCUCCUUAGUACAAGGUUAUUAUUAUUUGACACGAUAAGCCCUUAGCACCAUAUUGAUUAGAGUGUGGUUCAUGAGGUGUGAUUCCCCCCUCAUGAUUUAAUUGGUACUAAUAAGGAAUAUUUAGCCCAUGGUGCAUGUUGAUGCAGAUCCAGAUACACAAGCGCUUCAAUUAUAAAUUACUUUCACCACAAAUCCAACCACCCACAUAGAAAAUUAAUUCUACACGUAAUUAAAAUCCACCUCCUCGUGGGAUCGAUACUUAUCUCCAUUAAUCUAUUCUACAAUAGAUUCGUGCACUUGCGAGUUUAAUAAAAUUUGCACAACAAGUUCUUAUAAUUUUUUUUCUUAUUUAAAAAAAAAAGAGUGAAUCUGCAUUCUAAGGUUAGUAUUUCUUUUCUUUUUCUCUUCUUCAAAAUUCUGUAAUUUAAUUUUCAAGUUAUUUUUUUGUAAUUUUUGGUUUAUCUUAUUAAUUUAUUUUAAUUUUAGCUAAUUGUUUUCACGAAUUUUUUUUUAGUGUGUUUUCAUAGUAAACACUUCACACACACAAACACGUUAAAAAUAAAGUGAAAUGGAUUUGCAACAACAACAAGCACCACAGGAGAGGCCAUUUAAGGAUUACUUCAGUCCCUUAGCUAAUUUGAGCACAUCAUGCAUAAGUGAUAACUCUCUGAAAUGAGAGUUAUCAUGGCACUUUUAAACUUAAAUCAAUAAUGCUUAGAAAGUAAAUGAUGUGUUUCUAUUGCAUUUUUGUUACAUUUUGCAUAAAUAUUCAUUUUAGUUUAGUCUUAAUAAGUUUUGCUUAAUUUAAAGUAAUUCGUGCUUAAAUUGUGUGCAUAAUUGUAGGUUUCCAGAAGCAGAAUUCAUGGAAGGAAUGUUGAUGCAAUAGGCUUGCAAAAAUAAGAACAUGACUACAAAAGAAUUGAAACGAAUCUGGAACAGUGCAGUUGCUGUAGCCGUUGCUGUAGCAAUCAUUGCUGUAGCCGUUGCUGUAGCAAUCAUUGCUGUAGUCGUUGCUGUAGCAAUCCUGGAACAAUUCCGCGCGGGAUACUUGCAGAAUUGUGAUCUGCAGUUUCCUAAUCUGACUUAUGUGCGCCCUAAGCUUCCGUUUACCCUAAUUUUCAGUUAUCAAAGAAGCACACAUCAUAAGGAAUAGGGAGAGCCGUCACCCAAGGAGAAAACACAAAGAAACAAAAGAAAAACAAGAUUCAAGAGAGAUUGAAGGCCACACAAGAGGAAAAAUUGCAGAGAUCAAUUGGGAGCCCAAUCCUUCUUAUCAUUCUCUUGUUUUCGUGUUUUCUAUUUAUUCAUGGGGAUGUGUUUCAUAGCUGAAACUUUGUUCUUUAUUUUUCUUUUGCAAACCAUGAACUAAAUUUAAUUGUGGUUGAGUGAUAAACAAUCUUGAUGGUUUAUUGACUGAAUAUAUGUGUUUCUGCAUGUUUGCUGUAGCAGUUUAUUUUGAUAGUAUUUAUUUUUAUUCAUUAUUUCGGUUGAUCACCCAUUUAAUGAUACAAGUUAGGAGAGAAACGCAAAAGCACCUAUCUUAGUGGAACAUAUCAGAGCACUAGAAAAUGAAGACCCAUAUAAUCAUCUAAAUGAUUUUCAUGCUGUUUGUCAAACUUUUAAAUAUGAGAAAAUUUUAGAUGAUGAUGUUAAACUCAAACUAUUCUCAUUUUCUUUAAAGGAUAGAGCGCGUUCAUGGCUCAAUACAUUGGCUGCUAAUAGCAUUACAUCAUGGGAACAAAUGGUAAUGAAAUUUUUGAAUAAAUAUUUUCCAGUGCAUAAAACCAAUGCUAUUUGCAGGAAAAUCUCAGAGUUUACUCAAAGAGACGACGAGCAGUUUUUUGAAACAUGGGAGCGAUUCAAUGGGCUACUCUUGAAGUGUCCACAUCAGGGGUAUGAGAAAUGACACCAAUGCCAAUACUUUUUGGAGGGAUUAUUGCCGCAUGUGCAAGAAUGGCUAAUGGCAACAAAUGGAGGAGAGCUAAUGUCAAAAAGUGCAUCAGAGAUUUGGGAAUUCUUCCAGUGACAAGCGGAUAAUUCCCAACAACGGAGUCGAUCACUCAAGAAUACUAGAAGAAUUAAGGGAGUAAAUGAGGUUCACAUUAGUGAGUCAAGUUCAGAAAUUAAAGAAGUCAAAGCGAUAAUUGAAGGUCUCUCUUGACAAAUAGCAUCGUUAUCGACUGGUAAAUCAACAUAGCCACAUGACCAUGACUCAUACUCAAAUCAAGCCAAUGCCAUAAGUGUAAUGAGAAAACUAUCAAAUUACAACCCAUACUCCAAUACAUAUAACCAUGGAUGGAGAGACCACCUUAAUUUUUCAUGGUCUCAAUGAUUCCAAUAGAAUGGACUAGCAGCUCCAGCUCCACCAAUGCAACCAAUUCCUCAAGUUCCACAAGCUCCUCAAGCCUAUCAGCCCCCAUUUAGACUAUACAAUCAGAAUUAGAAUUACUCUCAACCCAGACCAUGGAAGGAUUCAUUCCAGAAUCUCAAGAAUCUUACUCACUCCACAAUUGAGCAACAUAACCGCACCAUUGAUGAACUACGAAAUGAGAUGAGAGCAGACUUUAACUCACAAGCCCAAUCAGUUUCAAACCUUGAGAAGAUGGUGGGACAACUUGCUUCUUCAGUUCAAACUGUUGAGAAAGGCAAGUUUUCAAGUCAACCAGUGCCUAAUCAUAAAGGAGUGCAUGAAGUAAGUACCAAUUCACCACAGCAGCACGGAGAGGUCAAAGCUGUCAUGACCUUGCGAAAAUGGAAAGAAGUUGACAACAAAGUAAAGAUGCUAAUGACGAAAACAAAUCAAAUUGUACCUGUAAAUGUUGAAGACUCACCACCGGAGGAGAAAGAAGAAACCGACCCAUGAGAAUAUGUUCCUAAAGCUCCUUUUCCUUAGAGGAUAGCUAAAGGAAAGAAGGGAAAAUCCACAGGUGAGAUUCUUGAAAUCUUCAAACAGGUAAGUGUUAACAUCCCUUUAUUUGAUGCUAUAAAAUAAGUGCCAUCUUAUGCCAAGUUUUUUAAAGACCUUUGUACUAAAAAGAGAAACAUUCACGUUCAAAAGAAGACCUUUUUAACAGAAAACGUUAGUUCUAUACUUCAACACAAAAUUCCUCUAAAAGACAAAGACCCAGGCUCCCCCAUUAUCUCAUGUAAUAUAGGGAACUACACAAUUGAGAAUGCUUUGUUGGAUUUAGGAACUUGUGUAAAUCAAUUGCCUUAUUCAGUAUUUGCGAAACUUGGACUGGGAGAAUUACACCUAACUCCAGUGGUGUUACAGCUUGCAGAUCGGUCCACGAAAAUACCUCGUGGUAUUGUAGAGGAUGUGCUUAUCCAGGUAGACAAGUUUUAUUUUCAUGUUGAUUUCAUUGUAAUUGACACUCAACUAAUCCAGGAUUCAAGGAAGCACAUCCCCAUUAUUCUAGGCUGACAUUUCUCGGCAACUGUCGAUGCUCACAUUCAAUGCAAGACUGGAAAUAUGCAAUUGUCCUUCGGCAACAUGACUAUGGAGCUAAACAUUUUCAAUAUUGUCAAACAACCUCACAAUGCAGAUGAUGGAAUUGUUGAUGUGGAUUUAAUAGAAACAAUAGUUGAUAAUACAAACAUGUUUAACUCACUUUGGUUUGGAUUUUGAUAUUGACAGAUCUGUCAAUUAGGUCAACGCCCUACUUGACUCAGCACCACCCAUGGACACUAAUAAAUGGAAGUCAAGAGUUGAACAACUAGCACCAUCUGAGAAGAAACUCAUCCCAUCAUCAGAAUCACUACCGAAACUUGAGCUCAAACCAUUACCCAACACUCUAGAAUAUGGAUUUUUUGGGAGAAGAAAGUACUCUGUCGGUAAUCAUCUCAUCAUCCCUAAAUGACGAACAAAAAGAUAAAUUGUUGGAUGUUUUAAAAGAGCACAAAGGAGCAUUAGGAUGGACCAUAGCAGACAUAAAAGGUAUAAACCCAGUAGAUUGCAUGCAUUACAUUCAUCUUGAUGAAAAUACUAAACCUACUAGGGAAAUGCAACGUCGGUUAAAUCCUAACAUGAAAGAAGUUGUUAGAACUGAAGUCCUUAAGCUAUUAGAUACAUGUAUCAUUUACCAAAUUUCUGAUAGUUCAUGAGUCAGUCCUAUGCAAGUUGUCCCUAAAAAGUCAGGAGUCACAGUAGUUACCAAUACUGAUAAUGAAUUUAUACCCACUAGAGUGACUACAGGAUGGCGUGUAUGCAUUGAUUAUAGCAAAUUGAAUUCUGUCACACGUAAAGAUCAUUUUCCUUUACCAUUUAUCGAUCAAAUGCUUGAUAGAUUAGCAGGCCAUGAAUUUUAUUGCUUUCUAGAUGGCUACUCAGGAUAUAAUCAAAUUCUUAUAGCACCAAAAGAUCAAGAGAAAACCACUUUCACUUAGCCUUUUGGCACUUUUGCAUAUAGGAGAAUGCCAUUUGGAUUAUGUAAUGCACCUUCUACAUUUCAGCGAUACAUGUUGAGCAUUUUUUAUGAUAUGGUUGAACGAUUUCUUGAAGUCUUUAUGGAUGACUUUUCUGUCUUUGGUGACUCGUUUGAUCAAUAUUUACAUCAUCUAACACUAGUUCUGCAGAGAUGUAUCGAGAAGAACUUAGUCUUAAAUAGGGAGAAGUGUCAUUUUAUGGUAAAACAAGGUAUUGUUCUCGGUCACAUCAUUUCGAGCAAAGGUAUUGAGGGUGCCAAAGCCAAGGUGGGUCUCAUUUCUAAUCUUCUUCCACCCAAAACAGUCAGAGAAGUAAGAUCUUUCCUUGGGCAUGUUGGUUUUUAUAUUGAAAAUAUUUACUUGCAUAUAUGAUUCAGAUUCUCCUCCGUGGGUUAUUUGAAACGAAUCAUAGAAUACUCAAAUUAGUGCUUGGGUGAAUGAGAAAUCUGACCUCAAAUAGCGCCACUGAUUUGAAAAUAUGAAGAAAAAAAUCUCACAUUGGAUUUUAACUAACUAAUACCCUUUCUUGAAACCUAUUGGCUUCCAAGUUCACUUGCAAAACACACGAAAAUUCAAGUGAUUUUUUAUUCUUCUUUGCAAAUAUUCUCUAGCUUUAAGCUUUAGUAUGAUAGAGUUCAAACAUUUAUUUGAUGUUCGCUGGAAUAGUAAGGUUAUGCUACCAGCGCUAUUCGAAUCUGAUGUAUCAUGGGAGACAAACACCAAUAUAAUUCAAGCACCGUUGUGUCGGUGCCAAAUUUGUUUUAAGGACAUUGUAUCCUUAUAGGCCUCGAAAAUAGUGGUUUUGUCUUAUUACAUAUUGUUGAACAAUAUGUUAUAUCUUUGUUGUUUCAAUUUAUUUAUUUAUUAUUAUUAUUAUAUAAUUGUUAUAAGUAUAUAAGAGGCUUAUUAGUAGGCUUAAGUAGUGCACUAGAAAAGUUUAGUCACAAACACUAUAUACAUUGCCUAAGAGUCUAGGUUUUAAGCAAAAUUAUUACGAUCCUUCCAAUAUUUUUUAGGAACCUAGCCGAUGUAUUUUUUCACAUAAAAUGGACAUUCUUAUAUCAUUUGCUAAUUUAUAAUAAUAUACCAACAAGAAGAUGUAAAGAAAUAGAGAUUAACCGUUAAACAAGAAAUAAUUAAUUAAGAAUAUAAAUACCUGUAAUUUAACCGUUUCAUCAUAAAGAACUAAAGAUGGAAUAAUAUAGUGCAUGGCAUUAAGCAACGGCCAUAAGUCGAGCCUGGUUCAUUUUGCACAGCUUGUAUGAAGCUCGAAGUCAUGACACCCGUCACUUUGCCUGUAAAAGCCUGCUUACACAGUAAAUUCCAGCCAUCCCGUGAAAUUACUAAUGAUAUGUCAUUUAUGCUCCUUUCUACCAAGAGUUUUGGUUCGCUCACGUGGGAUACAAUGUGAACUGAUUUGAGACAAUUGAAAAAUAAAAAAGCACGGAUACUUAAUUUUUUUUUUAACAAUUAUCGUUAGUUAUGAUAUUCGAAAUUGAAAUAUAAGAUUUCCAGUACUAAUAUCUAUUAGAAAAGAAAAUUAAUUUUUUUUAUUUCUUUGUAUUGUUUGCCAUAAAUAAUGAUUUCAUUUAUGUUUUUUUUUUCAAACCAAAGGAAAAUUUUGUCAAAAUUGAAUAAGUGUCAAAGUUACAUCAGAGUUCGAUAAAAUGGACUCCCCUUAGACCUGAAAUGGGAGGUAGGAUGUAAUAAACCCGCCAUAUACUUUGGAGAUUAGGUAGAAAAGAGAGAUGGUCUAAUAUGAACCUUUUUAGAGAAUCUAAUUGUUGGGAAAAUAUGCUCUUUAAAAGCAUAUGUGUUUAUUUAAUUGUAAUAAAUAUUUUUUUUAUGAAUAAAAUUAAUGAGGUAUUUUAUUCAAAUAUCUUAAUUGCAUUAAUAUUUAUAUUAAAGUCCAUUUAAUCAUAUUAUAUGUAUUUAUGUGAUCACCAUGUGGAUUCACAGAAGACAUAAAUACAAGUUAUCUUAUGAUUAAAUAAAUUUAGUUCGCAGUUGGUAAAUAAAGUUGGGCACUUUAUUUAGGUAUAGACUGUAAUGAAUUCAUUGAAUGAUUUGUCUUAAUCAUGUAUGAAUUUAUUGAUGUAGUACGACUACAUUGAACAGGAUCACAUAUGAGAUUUAAUUAACCUUGAAAUGACUGUCAGACUUAUUAAAUCUCAUAGGCAUUGAUUUUACUGUAAUCUUAAUCUUGAGUUAGUUAUGAUUUCAUGAUUGUAAUUGUUAUUCCAUUUGAGUUACCAAUGGGCACGACACAUAAUUGUGGCAAGAUUACUCGGUAUCUUGGUGGGAGCAAUUAUGAGUAUUGAAGUUAUGGAUUAACAAUAUAGAAUUUGUACAACACAUCUCUAUAGAAAAAGCAAGUAACGUGAGUUUUGUUUUUAAUUAUUUGGAGCCUAGGGUUUUCACUAAAGUAGAUAUAAAAGGCUUAUUUUCCCUAAAGAAAAGUCAGAGCAGCCACUUUAUACAGAUCAGAGAAAAAGAUUUUUCUCUCUAUUGUUGAGAGAAAUUUUUUCUCGUGCUAGUUGCUUUGGUAGUGAUAAAGGCGCCCACACGUCAAGUGCAGAUCAAACUUGAGUCAUAACCUGGAAGAUCAUUGGUGACAGUUCAUGAUCGAACAAGCGUGGUGGUGACAGAUCGUGAUCUAACAGGCGUGGUGGUGACGGAUCGUGAUCUGGGAGCCUAAAUCACUUCAACGGAAAAAUCCAAAUCAGAUUUACAAGGUACGAUUUCUAGAUUACAAAUUCUUAUAUAUUAUAUGAGAGCGAUCUUAAAAAGGUUUUAUAAAAUAUUUAAAAACCUAAUUUUUUCCAACAAUUGGUAUCAGAGCCAUCUCAUAGUAAUAUAUAAGAAUUUCGUAUGAAAUUAAUCUUGAUAUUUAUGUAUUAGAGUGGCACAAUUUAUUCAGAUGUAUAUUAUUUGUUUAAUAUAUGAAUAAAGCAUGUUUAUGGGUUGUCUUAAUUCAUGGUUAGAUUUUUCGUUGUAUUUUUUCUUUGGAUAUGUAACAAGAGGGGUGGUUUUUUAUCAUCAUGUUUCUCUCUUGAUUUAUUUUACUGUUAUAGAAUUUUUGUAAGCCAAAAUUGUCCUAGGAAAUUUGUAAAUCAAUCACGGGCGGCAUAUCAAAGCGACGGAGGCCAAAAAUUUCGACAGCGACCACCGACCAGCCAACGUGCGGUACACGCUGGAAGCGCAUGCUGGCAGUGCACGCAGCAGGCAGCACACGCUGCCAGCAGUGCGCGCAGCAAACGGUGCGCGCGGCCAGCCUGGCUAGCGGCGCGUGCAGCAGCGGCGUGCGCAGGGUUGGUUUAUUUCCGGCGUAUCGGCAACGGCAAACUCGGCGUUGAUGGCGGCUAUCCGUUGAGAAAGGUCUAAACAAUGGUCGUUUGUGGAGAUGGCGGCUGGGGAAGAAGAAAGAAAGAAAAAUAUGAUUUUAGGGUUUAAUAGUUUUUAUCAUGGAGGUCCCUAUGGUUUCAUAAUUUUUUCUUCGAGCAGAAAUGUUUAAAUUUUUUGCAUUUAAGUCCAAAAACAGUUUUGGGCUUAAUGAAUCCUAGUUUUAGGACCAAUUUCAAUAGGGCUUAAUGGAUUAAAAUGCAUAGAUAAAAUUGAAUACACUAAAUUUAUUUUUGGUCCAAAAGUUUUAUUUUAAUAAAUUUAUUUAUUUCCUUUUCAAAAUUAAAAUUGGACCAAUUAUAAAUUUAAAAGCCCAAUUUCCCCUAGUCCAUUAACAAAGACAAGCUUAUGAAAAGAUGGACAUUGACAAGAAGCCCAAUGAAGAUUAAGCUUAAGGUUAAUGUAUUUUUUCAUUAUUAGGAAAGCCAUGAAUUAAGAUUAUUUAAUUAUUUUUCUAUAUGUUAUGUUUUGGAUAAUAACAUGCCAUGAUAACAUGUCAUAUAGAAUAGGUAGUGUCACUCUAUGCAUAAUGAUACAUGUCAUUCAUUAAUAAUGAAUCUCAUUAUAUUGUUUGAAAUUUGCACAUGCUUAAUAAUAGUUGAUAUCAUCUAGAUAAUAUUAUAGAAAGCAUGCAAUUAACAAUAUGUAUGUUUUAAAAAGGAAAAACCAAUUUUAAAAUAUUGAGUGGGAGAGGGAAAAUUAAAGAUAAUUUUCCUACGGGCUCCAUUGUUAGUUCAAUAAUAAAAUUAUAUAUAUACCUCGACUUCAUGAUACGGUGAUGCUCCCUACGGAGGGUAUAUAUAUUAGAUAUUUUAUUUGAUGAACUUCUUCAAAGAUAAAAUUGAAAUAUUUUUCAAUCGAUUGUUCGCCCCAACGGUGAAUAUUGAUAUGAAAAAUACGUAAAUUGAAACAAUGGUUAUACACUCAACUAAAAUUUGUUAUUAACCUUCCCAACGAAGCUCUGUUAAUAAAUUUAGGCCCAAAAGGAUAACGAUAAUUAUUUAUCAUGUCUCUACAUGAAAGUAAAUAAUCUAAUGGAUAAUUGGGUCUAGUAAGUGUAGACAUGACUUCCCCAAUGGAUAGCUUGUCAAAGCGGUACUAGAUUAUCGUUACAAUAAAUUAAAAUGCAUUUAUGGUUUUUUUGUAUUUUUGUCAUUUGUUGUGAAUAUUGUUUCAAAGUAUUUAUGCAUGUCUAUUUUUUUUUUUUUUGAAAAAAAUGUCUUCCAUCAACCCAUUAUUAACUAUCCUUGUUAAAAAUGAACUCACUGGCGAAAAGUAUUUAGAUUGGAAAUGCAAUCUAUUUAAUAUUCUCAUUGCUAAGGGCUGCAAAUAUGUGUUGACCCAGCCUUGUCCUCCUGAACCAUCGUUAUACGAUUAUAGAAAUCAGAGGGAGCCUUAUGAGAAAUGGUGCGAAGCUAACAAAAUGGCUAAGUGCUAUAUAUUGGCUUCGAUUUCUGUGGAACUGCAUAAGAAGCAUUGGAGCAUGGAAACAGCCACUGAAAUAAUGGCUAGUCUUCAUAAGAUGUUUGGGCAAAAUACUCAUUUUACUAGAGAAGCAGCAUUAAAACGUAUUACAGAUACUAAGAUGGAAGAGGGCACAAAAGUUCAUGAUCAUGUCCUCAAAAUGAUGGACUAUUUGAAUGAGGUAGAGAUUCAUGGUCUUCAAAUCAAUGAUAAAUCAAAGAUUAAUAUGGUGAUUGAAUCUUUACCUGAUACAUUCAAAGAGUUUAAGGUCAGUUAUAUCUUAAACAAUAAAGAUAUGACCUUAAUUGAAUUAAUGCACGAACUACAUGCUAUAGAAGAAUUUUAUCAUAGCAGAAAACUUCCUGAAAAAGGAUUCUCUUCAAGGCUUAAGUCGAAAGACAAGAAUGAGCAAGCAAGAGUUGGGAUCGGCAAACUGUCCACUAAAAAAAGUGGCAAGCCAAAAGGCAAGUGUUACAAAUGUGGACAGAAGGGUCACUGGAAGAAAGAUUGUCCUAAGAUUAUUAAAAUCAGACAUAGGAAAUCUUUAAGCUUCCUAAUUAGUUCAGAUUUCUAUUGAUUCAUACAAUAAUGAAUUAUGAGAUAACUAAUCUUAUUUGUAAUUCAUUUAUUUGGUUUUCAGGAAACCAAGAGAUUAAGUGAAGAAAGCUUCAAACAGCAGUUGAGGACAUGCUAGUUUAUAUCAAUUGAAAGGCUAGAUCAAUUUUACAAGACCUAAAGUUUUGAUAUUUGUCUUUAUUUUUCCAAAUAUUAGAGGAAUUUAAUUUCGGUGACUUAUUUUCAUAAACAGGAGUACACUGUUAUUUUUUGAUCCUCUGUUUAUUAUUUAUUUUGGUUAUUUAUAAAGACAAUUUAUAUCAUAUAAGUCCAUUGAUCUAUUCAAAGCAAGAUAUAAUGAUAAAGAGUAUAUGCAUUUAUCUAAGAAAAGAAAUGUUUCUUCAAACCAAAAUCACCUCUGAUAUUUAUGCUUAAGUCAUAUAAACUAUAAUAAGAUUUUAAGAAAAUGAUUAAUGAUAGACUUGUUGGCCUAUUAAGAUUGAUCAUUGUAACUUUAUAAAUCUUAUUUAGAAAAGGAAUAUGAUGAUGAUGCUUGUAUUUGAUGAUUUAGUGCAUACAAAUGUAUACGGACUAAUCAGUUUACAUGUUAUAAGAGGUUAUAAGUAUUCUAUCAAUCUUGUUGAAGAAUAUUCAUUUUAUUUAUGUUUGUCUAAAUGUGUCAUGAUUCCAUUGCUUUUGAAAUUCAAAAGAGUAGGUGGAUAAGACAGAAGCAAUUAGACAGGAACAUAAAAGAACUUCGAUAUGAUCGAAACAAAGAAUGUCUCUAUGGAGAAUUCAAGCACUAUUUGGUUGUCAAUGAACACUAUGAUACAAUAGUGUAAUUAAAUGGAGAAACAAGAUUCUUUUGGAUAAAACAAGAUAUAUACUAAGUGGUUUAUCAUUUACCUUUUUGAUUCCAGAUACUAAUAUUUAAAACUACAAAGUUUAUUGAACUUAGUUUCAUCUAUCUCGGUGUCUACUACUCCAAGAAAUUAUGAAAAAGUCACAAACAUGGUUUGAGACACAUUCGUAUUUGGAGUUUACUAGUAUUUCUACUAGAAUCAAAGGUAGAGAAGAUGGAUUUCUGUUCAAAAGCUUGCAUGUUUAAGGUAUCUUAAUGGAAUAAGGGAAAGUCUGAAUUAUAGUCCUCAAGAUAGGAAUGUAUUUAUAGACAUAUUCUUUACUUUUUUUGAGGAAGACUAUAUAAUGACUUAUAACCUACGAGUAAGGUAAAACUAGAGAAAUAAAAGAGAUCAGGUUGAUGCAGCUUUCAACACCUGUUAUAGAACAGGAAGAACAACAACAAUCGGCUGAUCACCACAGGAUUAUCCUUGAACAACCAUCACUUUUAGAACCUCGUCAUAGUGGGAGGGUAACUAGGUUACCUGCGAGAUACAUGUUAUUGAGAGAAACCUAUACGACGAUCUCAGUUGAACAUGUAUAAGAUCCCACUAGUUACAACGAAGCUCUAAUAGACAAAGAUGUUGAAUUUUGUAAAAAGGUCAUGAAUCAAGAAAUGGAAUCUAUGUAUUCCAAUAAAGUCUGGGAACUUGUAGAGGCACCAAAUGGGGUAAAACCUAUAAGGUGCAAGUGAAUCUACAAGAUAAAAAGAGGAGUAGAUGGAAGGGUGGAAACAUUUAAAGCAAGAUUAGCAGCCAAAGGGUUUACUCAGAAAGAAGGAAUCGAUUAUGAGGAAACUUUUUCUGUGGUUGCUAUGCUUAAAUCCAUCAGGAUUCUGCUCUCCAUUGCUGCAAUGCUAGAUUAUGAAAUUUGACAAAUGGAUGUUAAGAUAGCCUUUCUUAACGGGCAUCUUGAAGAAGACAUCUACAUGCAUCAACCAGAUGGAUUCGUACAAAAGGCCAAGAACACAUGGUAUGUAAGUUGCAGAAAUCCAUUUAUGGAUUAAAGCAAGCAUCCCGGUCAUGGAACAUCAGAUUUGAUCAAGAGAUUAAAUCGCUUGGAUUCAUUCAGAACAUUGAUGAAUCAUGUGUGUACAAGAAAAUUCAAGAAAAAUCUGUAACCUUCCUAAUUCUUUAUGUAGACGAUAUUCUCCUAAUUGGAAACAAUAUAGGAGUAUUGACUACAAUAAAGAGUUGGUUAGCGAAACAAUUUGAUAUAAAAGACUUGGGAGAGGCAAGUUAUAUUCUUGGUAUCAAGUUAUUACGAGACCGGAAGAAUAAAACUUUAGCCUUGUCUCAAGCGGUCUAUAUCGAUAAGAUAUUGGCUAGAUUUAGCAUGGAAAAUUCCAAGACUGGUUUAUUACUAUUUAGACAUGGAAUUACAUUCUCUAAGGAUCAAUCACCUAAAACAUCUGAAGAGAUAGAGAGAAUGAGACGAGUUCCCUAUGCAGAAGCUGGGGAAGUCUCAUGUAUGUCAUGCUUUGCACUAGGCCAGACGUCUGUUUUGCGGUAUGGAUGGUUUACAGAUAUCAAUUUAAUCUUGAACCUCAAUACUGGAAUGCAGUCGAGCAUAUUAUAAAGUAUCUGAAAAGAACUAAAAAUUAUAUGCUUGUGUAUUCUGGUGACGAACUCAUUCCAGUGGGUUAUACUGAUUCUGACUUUAUGUCAGAUAAGGAUUCCAGAAAAUCAACUUCCGGCUAUGUGUUUACAUUAGGAAGUGGAGCUAUUAGUUGGAGGAGUGUGAAACAAUCUUGUAUCGCAGACUCCACAACUGAAGCUGAAUAUGUGGCUGCAUCCGAAGCUGCAAGAGAAGCUGUAUGGCUCCGCAAGUUCCUACAAGAUCUUGAGGUGGUACCUGCUGUAACUGCACCCCUUAAACUAUUUUACAAUAAUAGUGGUGGGGUAGCUCAAUCUAAGGAACCAAGGAACCACAAGAAACAAAAACAUAUUGAGAGGAAGUAUCAUCUUAUAAGGGAAUAGUGUAGAAAGGUUAUAUGACAGUACCCCAAAUGGCAUUAGAUGCUAAAUGACAGAUCUUAUUACAAUGGCCAUUACAGGGAAACCUUUAUAACCUGUACUUAGAGCUCUAGAGCAUGUGCAAUAUGCCAGAUAUGCUUUAAGAGCUAAGUGGGAGAUUGUUGGGAAAAUAUGCUCUUUAAAAGCAUAUGUGUUUAUUUAAUUGUAAUAAAUAUUUUUUUCUGAUUAAUAAAAUUAAUGAGGUAUUUUAUUCAAAUAUCUUAAUUGCAUUAAUAUUUAUAUUAAAGUUCAUUUAAUCAUAUUAUAUGUAUUUAUUUAAUCACCAUGUGGAUUCACAGAAGACAUAAAUACAAGUUAUCUUAUGAUUAAAUAAAUUUAGUUCGCAGUUGAUAAAUAAAGUUGGGCACUUUAUUUAAGUAUAGACUGUAAUGAAUUCAUUGAAUGAUUUGUCUUAAUCAUGUAUGAAUUUAUUGAUGUAGUACGACUACGUUGAACAGGAUCACAUAUGAGAUUUAAUUAACCUUGAAAUGACUGUCAGACUUAUUAAAUCUCAUAGACAUUGAUUUUACUGUAAUCUUAAUCUUGAGUUAGUUAUGAUUUCAUGAUUGUAAUUGUUAUUCAAUUUGAGUUACCAAUGGGCACGACACAUAAUUGUGGCAAGAUUACCCGGUAUCUUGGUGAGAGCAAUUAUGAGUAUUGAAGUUAUGGAUUAACAAUAUAGAAUUUGUACAACACAUCUCUUGAUGGGUUUUCGGCACUUGAUCAUAGAAUUCUUUGGCCAGAGUGUGUAAACAUAUUUAGUAUGUUAAAAAUGAUCAUUAGAGAAAACCAGUAAGUAUCAAGGAAUAAGAUGUUAUUAAAUUGAUUGGACAGUUGAGAUAUCAAUUUAAUUAACGAUGUGGUACAAAGGAUUGUGCAGUAAAGAAAUCAAUGUGGCUUGGGACGAAUUAUUAUUCGAGCAUACAAUUAUGGAAGUCAGUUCCUAUCUUUUAGUGGAGUAGAUUUGGAAUUUAAUAAUUGGGCUAGUUUAAUUACAAGCCUAAUCAUUGUAGCCACUAUUGUAUGUUCCCAAAUGAUCCCCGGGUUAGCUCAUUUAAUUGACUGCACCACUACUGGAUUAAUAAGCAAGAUAACUAGCUAUUUGGGUCAAAAGCCUAAAUAUAUCAUUUAGUGGGAGGCUCCAUUUAAUUAGCUUGUGUGUAAGGGUCCUUAUGUUAUUUUACAAGGUGGGUCCUCUAUAGAAAAAGCAAGUAACGUGAGUUUUGUUUUUAAUUAUUUGGAGCCUAGGGUUUUCACUAAAGGGAGAUAUAAAAGGUUUAUUUUCUCUAAAGAAAAGUCGGAGCAGCCACUUUAUACAGAUCAGAGAAAAAUAUUUUUCUCUCUAUUGUUGAGAGAAAAAUUUUCUCGUGCUAGUUGCUUUGGUAGUGAUAAAGGCGCCCACACGUCAAGUGCAUAUCAAACCUGAGUCAUAACCUGGAAGAUCAUUGGUGGUUCGUUAUCUAACAAGCGUGGUGGUGACGGAUCAUGAUCUAACAGGCGUGGUGGUGACGGAUCGUGAUCUGGGACCCUAAAUCACUUCAACGGAAAAAUCCAAAUCGAAUUUACAAGGUACGAUUUCUAGAUUACAAAUUGUUAUAUAUUAUAUGAGAGCGAUCUUAAAAAGGUUUUAUAAAAAAUUUAAAAACCUAAUUUUUUCCAACAAUAAUAACAACUAAUGAAUUUCUACAACACAAUGAUACUACUGAAGUCGUGGCAUAAGAACUUUAAGAACUUAAUUAGGUGACCUCAAGUUACAAGGAUCCUAAUUCGGCAAAUGACAAAUUGCAUACGAAAAUGACCAUUAGCAAACAACAACUGUUCUGCUAGAAUAAUUUGUCAAAUGCAAUCGUUGAUUAAAAAAAAAAAGAGAGAGAAUGGGCCAUUUAUUUCAGUUAAUGAAACUGAUAUAAAUACAAACUCUUAAACAAAUUACUGCCUCACCAAAUUACUGUUGGAUUGAUUUUCACAUGAAUUCACUUUAUUAACUAUAUAUAUUAAAAUUUUAUAUUUUAACUAACUAUUAGUGUAUUGCCACAUCCAUUUCUAGAUAUAAUUUAUACAAGAAUUUCUAUCCUUAUGAUUGCUCAAUUAAAUAUUUAAGGGAAAAAGAAGGGUAUA
This 83174-nucleotide long non-coding RNA is filed under the name Citrus x clementina. RNAcentral's name for it is "Citrus clementina (C. clementina) long non-coding RNA (CCLE_LNC000930)". The record is from RNAcentral. Lineage: Eukaryota; Viridiplantae; Streptophyta; Magnoliopsida; Sapindales; Rutaceae.